GAGAAUGCUUCCGACGAAGAAUACAGUGAGUGACGCUGGUGGGAUUUGAAAUUUCCCUAUGUGACGGUUCAUGGUUGUGGCUUGUGAUACUGAAAAUGUUGUCAUUUGGGCAUAUACGGUCCAAAAUAUAACAGUGGUUGCCCAUAUAGGUAACAUCCUUAGUACCAAUUUCACUUCUUCAACAUCUGUUAAUGUAGCCAAGUUCCAUUUAUUUGCCUGAUCAUUAAGAGAUGGGUCCUUGAUAGCUGCCCUAUCCAAGAAACUGUAUAUAGACAAUUUGAAACCAAUGAAAAAAUAAUCAGCCAAUAAAAAAAGAAAAAGAAAAAAAAAAAAGGGUUCUUAUCAACUUUUUCAAUUAUUACACAACCAGCCGGAAUUGAUCAAUUAUUUCCCAUUUCCAACCAAACACGUUUAGAAAAUUUUAUUUUUCAGAUAUCAUGAAAUGUCAUUGUUUCUUGUCAUUGGAGUUUGAUUUUGAUUGUUGAAGACUUUAAAGCUUCAUUACUAGUCUCAUUAAAAUGGUGAGGAAACGUGUAUGUUUGGCUAUGGAAAUAAACCUACAAAAUCAAGAAAAUUUCUUGAUAGACCAAAUCAAGAAUUAAUUGUGUAACAUAUAAUAUGUUUAUAAUAUGUAAAAGUAUUAUGGAUUCGUUACAUGUCACAUGUUAUUUUUUUAUUAUUUUAUCAACUACAUCAAAUUUUAACGAUAUAAAUAAGUAAAAUUUUUAAUAAAAAUAACUAAUUUACUCUUUGAUGUAAUGUAUAAAGCUUACUAUUUUUAGUUUAAUGUGAGAAAUAAAAAAAGUGUGAUGGAAGGCAAGUGAACAGGCUUCGGACAACUAAAGCCAAUGUGUCUUUAAAGUAUUUUAACUGGGGAAGGUUUAUUGGUGAGGAUUAAUUGGGCGACAGUCUGGCCUAAUGUUCCAUGAUCUCUUUUUUAUUUUAUAUAAUCGUAUGUCUUCAAUAGUUUUACGAGAUUAAGUUGAAGUGAUAUUUAAGUAAAUCCAUUUCAUCAAUAAUGAUAUAUUUUUCAUGAUAUAAAAUUUAUUGUCUGUUUUUUGGACAUGAAACAUGACACACAAAUAUGUUUUCCAAAGUAAAAGUUUUAUAAAUAUUUUUGUAUUAAGAAUUAAAUUAAAUUAUAUUUUAUUUAAAAAUUAGUAAAUUAGUUUUUAUACGUUAAAUUAAAGAAUAAACAAGUUCUUUCAGUUAAAAUUUUUAAUUAUUUCUAUUAUUAAAAACCGGUGUGGUUAACAAAAUAAUUAGAUAAUUACAUAUAGUAUGUCACGUGUACCUCAUGUUGAUGUAAAAUGACCAAUUUUUAACAGUAAAAAUAGAUAAAAGUUUUAAUAAAAGAAAAAAUCUACUCUUUAAUCUAAUUUAUAGAGACUAUUUAUCCAAUUAAUUGUCACCUAAGCUUGAAAGGCGAAGAUAGCGGUUGUAUUUGGAUUCGUGAAUGAGCUAUAAAAUAUCAUGAUCAGGUGGGGGGGGGGGAAUUGAGAUAGGGUUGUCAUUUAUAUAUAUCCACAAGCCCUAUGAAAUUUCAAUAAUUCUACUCUUUGAUUGAUUUCAUAUACCCAACUGAUUGAGGAUAAUCUAUCAUAUUGGACCCUACCAUAUGUUAGAUGCUUGGCACCUAAUGUUAUUUUGGGAACAUUAACAUUAAUGCUACUAUUAAUUAACUAUAAUAUUUUGAAUCUUUAUCAUAUUCCAUUACUUUGUAAUCUUAUUAUUAGUGGUCCCCUUUCCCUUAAUCCUUGGUUCACUACUCUAUGCAUUAUGCUACUCUAUCCUUUAUAUAUGUUACCCUAAAUAGAUUCAAUGUUGAAAAUCAUUAACUUAAUCUUUAGUCUUUUCAUUAUUUAGCAUCCCUUUGGAUGAAUGGUGGAAAGGUAUAGGUUGAUUAAUUGUAGUGUUUUAAGUAUUACGUUAGAAAAAAAAAAUAUUUGUUUGUAUGAAAAGAAAGAUUAAUGAAAAAGUAUUUAAUUAUUCCAGUAUAUAUACUGAACUUUAUGUAUAUUCUUUUAAUUAUUUUUUAGUAAAAGUAUUAUAGAAAUUUUUAUAUUAGAAGUCAGGUUACGUUUUGUUUUCUAUAUGCAAUAAAUAGACAUAGUAAUCCUUUUUAUUUUUAUUUUUGUUUCUUUUCCCUUUUAAUGAAUCCAUCGUCAAAUAACAUAUGGUAUCUGUUAACCAAUAUGCCAGAUUGAUAAUUUUUGACCAAAACUAAUAUCGUCACGAAUCAUCUGAUUAGCUUUUAAAUUCAACAUGAACUGUUAAACGAGUUUUUAAAUAGAUGACUAACCGGAACUCUUUGGUGUGGGGCAAUUUUUGUUUCUUCUUCAUCUUCAACCCCUCAGCUGCAUCAUCAAUAUUGAAAAGCAACGAUGGAUCCAAUGGCAACUCCAAAUGCUUCUUUUUCCAGGCAGCUACGAAGACUGUAGCAAUUUGGGUCAAUGGGCUCCCCACCAGUUUCUUAAACCGGUACCUCUUUGUACCCGAUAGAAACACCACUAACCCUAUCACAAUAGCACAAGCACAAAUGCCAUAUCCCCAUUCACGUCCUAAAUUGUCUUGGAUGUAAACCAAAAUGGUCACUGAACAAAGUGAACCUAUGUUUAUGAAGAAAAAGAACCAAUUGAAGAAGUUGGUCAUCUGGGAUUUUUCUUGGGGGUCCGAAUCAUCAAAUUGAUCCGACCCAAACCCGGAAACACUCGAUUUUAGACCUCCAGUCCCAAGAGCUGUAAGGUAAAGGGCUAAGUAGAGAACAGUGAGUUGGAUGCCACUUGCUGGGGUACAUAUUGUGGCGUUGUCCCUUGUGCAUUUUGGUGGCCUUAGGCUUGGGAUUAUUGUUGAGAUUGUUAAGACGGUUACACCCUGCGUACAUGAUUCAUACGAUACUAAUACUUUAAAUAAUUGAACUUAUAAUUGUUUUGCUUCACUUGUAAAGUAAAAUGAUGAUAAUGAUCUUACUGUCGCUUGAACGGUGGCGAAGAUUCCGAUGGUGAGAUACCUUCCAAGGAAUGUAUCGGCGAUGAAACCACCGAGUAAACAAAGCAUGAAAGAUGUGCCGAGGAAGUUGGUGACGGUGGUGGCCGAGGUAGCAUUGCCUAAAUGCAUGGUUUCCGUUAAGUACGUCACUAAGUUAACAGCUAUACCUAAAGUUGUUAACCUCUCACAUGCUUCCACACCUGUGAGACAGAAAAGACAAUUACAAAUUGUUUGUUUGUUUAGUGUCUAAAACUAAAGCCAUAAAAAGACUCAAAUGAAAUGAUGAUGAUGAAAGACGAACCUAGAAUCAUGGCGGCGCUGGUCCAGCCACCGGUGGUGGACCUCUCGGCGGGAUGACCCUUAUAGUCCCAAGCAUCGGGGAGGGUUUUCCCUUGUGUUAUAGGGAGGGACAUUGGUUGAUAUAUAAGGUUAAAAUGGGUUGAAGAUCAAAGGAGAGAAAAAGAGAGUGGUGGUGGUGAUGGUGGCACAAUGCGAGCAAAGGGUGGUGGUAGGUGUAUUUAUAGUAACGAGUGAACAUGGAAGAGGCUUUAAUUAAUUAGACACGGAUUACAACUACUCAAAAUUGCAUUUAAUAAAAUAUGUUUUUCAUGGAAUUAAAGUUAAAUCAUAUAAAAUUUUUUUAUGUAUGUGAACUUUAACCUAAAUCCAAAAAAUUAAUCUAUUUAAUAUAAAUUUGAACAUAAAUUUUAUCUAAUCAUUUAAUUUAAUCUAUUCAAUCUGAAUUCGAAAAUAACACGAAUUAAAAAUUAUUUAAACUCGAAAUAAUCUGAAGUUGAAAUUACCCAAAGUUUAAAAUGAUUUGAUUGAAAAGCUAGACAAGUCUAAACCAAAAUAACUUAAAUCUAAAACAAUAAAAAUAUCCAACUAUGAUUGAAACCUUAUAUAGCCUAAAUUCAAAAAGUUUUAAAACCCAAAUUAACCCAAUUCAAAAGUAAUCCCAUCCCUCUCUAAAAGAAAUUACAAGAUUAAAAUUUGUUAUUAGUCUUUCAACUUUGACAAAAUUUGAGUGUUUUAAUCUGUAUAAUUAAAAAAUUUAAGUUCUAUUUUUUAUUUAAAAAUCUCAAUCCAAUCAUUAAAAUAAUAAAUAUUUUCAAUUAAAAUUUAUUAAUUUUAUUUAGCUAUUCUCAUAUUACGAAGUAAAUUUUUUAAAUUGAAAAAAGGAAGAUUUACCAACAACAAAUUUUAAUAAAAUUAUAAUGUAAAUUUCCUUUUCUUUAUCUUCUUGAAUUCCAUUGCUAAUAAUACUUGGCUGAUUAAUUGUGUUUAGAUGAGAUGAAAUCCCAUUCAGGAGGGAAUGACAGCUCUACCCAACAUUAUAGACUUUUGUAGGACCAUGUUUAUAUCAAUGAUUGGUAAUUAUAUAAACUUCCACUAACACUUGGGAAGUUGAAAUUUGGAAACCAUGGUUAAGAAAUAAAUUAAGGUGAGUUGAGGGGAUUUUCUAAGAGGUAUCCCUUCAUUAUUUGUGUCCACGUCAUCUUAUCUAGAAAUUUGAGUUUUUAUUUUAAAAUAAAAUUUUAAAGCAUUGAAUAAUAAUAUAUUUAGAAAAAAAACAUUUAAUACUUACUUUAUUUUAAAUAUAUAAUUUUUAUUUUUAAAUUUGUUUAUCGUUAUAAUACUGAAAAAAAGAUGACCGGGUUUAAAUCUGUAUUAUUUAAAUAUCGGAAAAAAGUUCAAUCUUUAUUUUAUUUAAAAGAAUGAAUUAAUAAAAAAUGGUUAUUUAAUUUUAAGUAUUUUACAUUAUAAAUAUUUUUUUGAAGGGAAAGGAAUUUAUUUUGCAUUAUAAAUAUUAAGAAAAUCUAAAUCUUCUCCUCCUAACCACGAAUAAUGUAAAUUUUUCCUCUUGCUCUCUAACAACAAGCAUUUGUGUACGUGCAUGGAAGUUGGUAUACGAUCAUUUUAACUUAAUAAUUAGUACAUUAAAAAAAAACUUAAUAGUUAGUAUAAAUGCUAUUAAUUAUAAUAAUAAUUUGGCAUCUAUUCCUUAAUUUGCUAGUCUUUUUCCCUUUUUUUUAGUGGGAAUUAACCUAGCACACCAAAAGUUUGAAAGCCUUGAUUUCCACAUGAAUAUAAUGUUUUCAAUUGUUUUCAAAGAUUUUAAUUGUAUAAUAAACAUGUAAAUUAUUAAUCUUUCUACCUAAAGCUUAAAUUUUAAUUUAUUUUUUGGGAAAAUAUUUAUAUAUUACUAGUGGAGUUUUUAAACUUCAUAAACAGGGUUAAGGAGUUGAUAGGCGUCUUACACGGUAUAGUAAAUUAUAAAAAAUAUAUUUUUAAAAAAUAAAUGUCAAUUUUUUUAAUGUUGCUUGUGGAUAAAAAAGUACACUACUAGUGUAUCAAAUAUUCACCCUUAUUUUUUUUGGUAAAAAGUAGUUUUCAAAUUUUUUUCUCAUAAAGGUUCACUAAUAUUAAAUAGUUUAUUAACCUACAAGUAGUUAGAAGAAGUGGAAGUGGAUUUCUUCCAUAGGUAUUUGGACCGAGUUCGAAUUAUGGAGUUGACAUUGUUAAGAGGACUUUACCUUAAUACCAUCCUAGGCCCGAACAAGACCAAUUAAAUAAAAAUUUCAGUAAGAAAAUAAAGCAAAGGUUUGUUUUACCUUGCAGACCAAUCAUUAGAAGCAAAAUGCGUCAAAUGAAAUAAAAGAUCAAUCUUUUCAUCCGAUACUUAAUUUCUAAUCAUUUUAAGUUUGCUCAUAACAUUUGUGAGACUUCCCAUAAAAACAAAGGGAAAGACUUCCUUUUCAAAAUUUUCACAUUUUCCUUCAAAUCAAAUCAAAACUUCAACUCUAAACUUAGAUUUCUUUAUAAAAUCAAGUAGGAAACUUGAUUCCAAACUCAUUUCCUCCGUAAACAUCACCAUUCAAGCUAAGGUUUAUGGUGUUUCUAGUGAGAGAAAUUAUGAUUAGAGAGAGAAAGUUCCAUUGAAGUAAGAUUUAGUUUUUUUCUUCCUCCCUAACAUGAUAUUUGUUAUGAGUUCUUAUGAAAAAACUUAGAAAGCUUUUUUAUUAACAUUUUGGUAUAUUUUUAAUGUAUGAAAAAUUAGGUUAUGUGGAGAAUGAAGCUUUUGAGCUAUUUUGAGCAUGGAUUAAAAGUUAGAGAGGCAUGAUUUUGUAUUUUAGAGCAUCCAAAAAUAAGUAGACUUGGAUAAUUUUCCUUCUUCUAUAAUAAUAUGCUUAAGAAAUUAAUGAAAAUGUAUUGGGAAUGUAAAAUUGAUUUCAUAUUAUAUAUAAAUUCCAUGGUUUAAAUGUGUUGAUUUAAAUUGUUGAAAAUUUGUGAUGAAAUUUUUUUAUAUGUAAUGUCAUAUUAACUAAUAUCGUGAAAAGAUAAUUUGUUGCCAUAUAUGACCGCUAGACGUGUUGAGAAUAUGUUAAAUUGUGAAAUAUAAUAUAAAAGUGGUAAUAAGUGAUUAAUGUGUUGAGGGGCCACAUUGGGAAAAUUUAAUGAUUAAUAUGUUGUUAUCACCAUUUUGAUAAACUAAUGAGAUUGAUAUGUGAUAAAUUUUACACAAGUUAAAAAUGGAAAUUUGAGUUUGUAAAUAGGUCAUAAUGAUCUCUUGUUGAAAUUUGUUAUGAAAAUAUUCUUAAAAGAAGGAAAAAUGUUACCUAUGAACCAUGGAAAUCAUUAUGUGAAAAUGAACAUGUUAAUAUGACUUUGAUUAAUAAGUUGAAAAUUAGGGUUGCAUAUGUGAAAGCACCUAAAGUGCUCUUAUGUGAAAUAAGUAUAUAUAUUAGGCACUCAAUGUGCCCAUAUAUGUGGUUAGACAACGUGCCGUCUAAUAAGUCUCUAAAUAUGUUUUUGAAUGAUUAAUAAUUGUGCCAUUUACCUUGAACGAUAUAAGUUAUAUGUGACUUUAAAGUGCCCUAGUAAACUUAGUGAAAUAGUUAGGAUACGAUUAACAUGCCAAUAGGGAUUUAUGUGUACCUGGAGUUUUGUUGCCUUCAGGCUUUGCACAUAUUACAUACACUUUUUGUUGCCUUUGGGCUAUGCAAUCAUAUGCAUGUUCUGAUGCCUUCGAGCUUAGCACUUCAGUGCUAUCUUUAGUGUGUUUGAUGGUUUGGCACUUUAGUACCCUUGGUGUGUUUGGGAGGGAUGUGGUAUAAUACUUAGCACUACGAGCUCCUUAGUGUGUUCUGAAGGGAGUCUUAUGUAUCUGAGUCAUUUCCCUAGUAUUUACUAUGGGCUAUGUAAUACCUUAAACCCGACCUAGACGUCCAAACCAAGUCCAUAGAGUUACAUUGGCAAUACUAGGAAAAUCACAUUUAUAAACACAGUCAAACGAAACCAUUCCACAUAUUAUAACUAUCACAACCAUUAGUUAUCUAUUCAAUCUUCCCAAACAUCAUAAUUUUGUAGAAAGCUGAAAUUACUACUAAUAAUAUUGAAAGAAAAGAUAAAUGGAUUGACCUAGCUCCUACAGCGUCGGCCCAUUCAAGCCUGAGAGCCACUUGAAAUCCAAUCAACAAUGAAAUAAGUUGUAAACCCAGUGCAUAAAAACAUUCGUUCAGUUAAAGUAUAUUUAUAAAUAAUUCUCAAAUUCCAAGUUCCGGUUGAGAUAAAAAAUAUGCAGUACAAAUUUAACGAUUCUAUUAUAUGACAGAAGCGAUUUCAGUUUUAGAUACAGAAAAAGUCAGAUCCAUACGCAGUGAUUCCUACCCCUAUCCGUUACACAUCAUCUCUAGCCAUCCCAACACACUAUUAAGGGCAUUUGGUACCCAACCAUCCCUGCACACCAUAUAGUGUCUGUUUGACAUACUUACUAAGACGCAAACUAACUGUUAGAUUAGAACGUAACAAAGCACCAGAUUCAUGUAUAUAUGUAUUGUGGCUUAGCCACUGAUUCAGAGCAAAUAACUUCCUCCUUUAAAAAUAUUCCAACCCAUGCAAAUGCAGAUUACAGACAUCAACAUGUAUUCAAUCAUUCCAAUUCAAUUCAUAAUAAUUAAUGUAGAUCAGUAUCAUUAACAAUCAUCACAAUUUAUAUACAUUUAUAAAAUUCAUGUCUCAGUCUCAGAGUAUCAAAUAGUUUUCAUACAAUAAAAUUCAGAUCAUAAAGUUUGAAUCCUAUUUAUAUGCUAUACGGCCUGGCACACACCUAUGUGCUUGCCCGUGUGGCUCACACGGCCUAGCACAUGCCCAUGUCGUUUGGUCGUGAGGCUUUAAAUCAUGAAUAGUGAGUCACACGGCUUGGAAACACGUCCGUGUGGCUCACACGGCCUAACCCUCGCCCGUGUCAUCUUCCUGUGUGAGUCUAAAUUGCAGACAGAGAGUUACACGGUUUGGACACGCGUCUGUGUCCUUGCCCAUGUGGCUCACACGUCCUGGGCACACGCCCAUGUCCCUGGCUCAUAUGGUUCUAAUCCACAAACAGUGAGUUACACGGCCUAGAUACAUGCUCGUGUCCCUUGCCCGUGUGAACCCUGCACUAACAUAGCCACACAUGGCCUGGACACACAACUGUGUCCCUUUCCCGUGUAGCUCGAAUUCGAUGAACAGUGAGUUACACAGUCGUGUGGCUCACACAGCCUACCACACGACCGUGUGGAGUCGACAACCACAUUUUUCAACGUCUAAAAUUUCUAAAAAUAGGGGUUUUCAAUAUGCACCUGAAGUAGUUUUGAUGCAGGAACAACAUAAAGAACUUCCGAGGCUUAUAGGGGACAGUCAAUAACCAAUUAAUGAUAGAUCAUCACAAUUACUAAGAUUAAUGUGUCAUCGACACAUUUUAACACGAAACCCCAAUUCAACUUAACCAUUACCUCACUUAGAUGAAAUUCACAAAUUAUGAGCGUUAAAGGAACCGUCGUUCUCGAGACUUUCUCCUAAAUCAAUAAUCAAACAUGCAACAAGAAUUCCAUCAUUAAUCAUGUAACUACUUUCUUGACAAAAAGGGAAUUUCAGAAAUUGCCCAACCAACUCACAAAGUUUACCGAAAAUAAACUUACCGACAACAAUAAUAGGUAAAGAGCACAAAUCUAAACAGACGAUACGAAGGAAAAAGGAAAAAAGUUAAUAACAACGAUGAGCAAAAGAAAAGAAAGAAAGAAAAAGAAAAGGAAAGGAAGAAAAAGAAAAGAGAGAAAAGAAAAGAAAAAAAUGGAAAGAGGGAGAAGAAUGUUAAUUAAUUGUUUCAACCUCCAACCAGAAAUCUUUAAAAUUUUUCUUAAUGCAUACGCUAGGACUCAAACACAGGACCAAAUGGAAUAUAAAAGCUUAACUAGUGAACCAGCAAGCUCAUUCUUGAUAUAUAUUUACACGAAAUUAGACUUAAAUAUGUAACUUCAAAAUAUGGGUUAUCUUAAAAUAAAAUAACAAAAUUUCUAACGAUGCAACUCGAACUCUUGACCUCAACCACAUAAACAGAGUACAAAACCACAGAUAUAGAGAUUUAAUUACAACAAAGAUCCAACAAUCAAACAUUAAAAUUUUUGGGGCAUUACAGGCUAAUUGAACUAAAAUCUUGAUGAUAAGAUGUGCCUAUGCCUAUUAAUUUCAAAAUUUAGUGUAAGGUGGAAUAUGUUAAAAUAUUAACAAGUUGAAAGAUCAUGUGUUUAAUAAUAAGGUUAACUAUAAACCAUCAGACAUAAAUUGUGAUUGAAAAUUUGAUUUGCUAUGCCCCCUAAUAGGUAAAUAAACAAGUGAAUGUCUGACUUGCAUAAGGUACUAAUGGCCAUAAAUGGAACUCACAUGUGAAUAUGUUAGAAAGUUAAAAAAUUAAUAAACCAGGGAUUGGAAAAUAUUGGUACCCUCAACGAAAACCUUGAACAUGAAUUCCCUAAUAUGAGUUGUCAAAGAACCAUAAAUCAGUAAGUUGAUCUCCAUAAUUCAGUAAUCAUAUUUGAAUUUGUUAAAAUGGCCUAGUAUGACAAAAAUAAACUUUGAAAAUUAUUGUUAAGGGGCUCAAUGUCAAUAUAAGGAUGGGAUAAGUAGGCUUAUCCUUAAGUACUUAUUAAGCCUUUUAAGCUCACACGUUAGUAGUUUAAAACGUGUAGGUUUUUAGACUUGUUGAGAAGCUAUGGAUUUGGCUUGGGAGUUUUUGCCAAAAACGCCGCUAAAGUUAGACAUUAUCGGUGUUUUUUUUUUAAAAACGCCACAAAAGAUUUCCAAGCUUUUUUGAUACGACGUCGUUUCAGUUUAGGGAUAAAAUUUAAAAUUUGGAAAAACGGCACCGUUUCAGUGGAAGAAUAAAAUCUUUUACUGGCGUUUUAUUGAAAACACCGUAAGGAUGUAUAAGUGUUUGUGAAAACGGCGCCGGUUCUAUUCAGGUAAUUAAUUUUUGUGGCUUUUUUGGGAAAACGCCACAACAUUGCACUCUAAUUUAUUAAAACGGCUCCGUUUCUUUACGUUCUUUGAAAUAUUAGUGGCAUUUUUUAUUAAAACGCCGCAAGUGUGAAUAAAAUAACGGCGUUUGUUUUAAAAAUGUCGCAAACGUGACUUAAAAUUACCUUAAACGGUGUUGUUUCCUAGGAGGACAUUUUUACUUAAUCCCUCCGUCUCCUUUACCAAAAUUUGAAUAAACUUAAGUAGGGUAACAGCGAUUCGAUAGGGAAGGAAAAAAAAGAGCAAGAAAAAAAAGGAGUCGACAUCUUAGGAAUCAACAGAAGGCAUUGGAAGGUUGGAAUUGAUCUUUACACCAUUGUUGGGCAAAGCUAUGAGAUUUGUAUCCCAGGUAAGCCGUUUCUGUCGAUGACCGAUUAAAAUUUUAGGGUUUUGUUUAUUUGGGAUUUAGGGUUUCGAUUAAAUUGAUUCUGUCAUCAAAAUAAACCUAAUCCGUUUAUGUCAUUUACAAUACUUGGGUUUAAGUUUCGUUUACAUUUACUUUCUUAAGUUGUGUUUUUUGUAGGCGAGAUUUGCUCUAGAGGUCUCCGAUGCUUAUGUAAAGAAGGCAUUGGGAAAAAGAUGGAGAGACCAUAAGAGCACUUUAAAGAAAGACUAUUUUAAGACAAAAACAACACUCGACGAGAAAUUACAAAAUGUCCCGCCGGGAAUGCUGAGGUACCAGUGGGAAGAGGUCGUUAGAUUUUGGACUUCGAAGAAAGGAGAGGUAUGUGUAACUUAUAAAAUAUAGUAAUUAUUUUGGUGUAUAGUAUUUACUAAUUAACGUACUAAUAAUUUCAUAACGUAGGAUCGUGAACGAGUUGGAAAAAGUAGUAGGCAGAAACAAAAAUUCACUCACACAGCUGGGUCGAAAAGUUUUGCGUGUAUAGCUCAGGCCAAGGUAUUUUGAAUUUUUUAAUACUGGCAGACAUUUAUUACUUUCUAUCAAAUAAUAUUUUUACUAUUGUAUUGUAGGAACUGUUGUCCGGUCAAAAAGUUGGACGCCUUCAACUUUUUGACAUUACACAUAGGAAGAGAGAUGGAAACCCUAUGACUCCUGAAGUUGCAAAAAUUAUGGUACGUUUGCUUAAUACAAUUUGACUUGUUUUAAUUAUUUACAGUGUUUAUUUUCUAAUGGUUUAUUUCAUUUCUUGUAAUGAAAAUAUUGUUAAGUUAUGUUGCAUUUGUUUUUUUAAUAUAUAUUGCGUUCCUAACUAUGUGAUUUAUUUUUUUACGAAAAACUAAAGGAUAAAAAGGCGGAGCACGAAGCGAUUACUUCCAGUGAUAGUUCUGUUCAUAUUGACGACAUUGAUAACCGGAUUAUCAUUGAAGUUUUGGGACCUGAAAGGUAUGGUCGGGUUCGAUUUCAAUGAUCUUUUGUUAACCCAUCCCAAUAUUUUGGAUCCAGCUCGCAACAAUACAUGCCUUCGGGGAGUCAAACUCAAGCUGAAGUUCAGAGGUUAAGAGACCAGAUGGCUCAGAUGCAAGCGACAACAAUUGAGCAAAUUACACAACUUAAAGCGGAGGCAACAUCGAGAGAAGCUGAGGUUCAAAAAAGAUAUGAAGAACUCUAGCUACAAGCAGAUGCAGUAGCGAGAGAAGCUGAGGUUCAACGAAAGUAUGAAGAACUCCAGCAACAGUUUAAAGCAGAUGCGGCAGCGAGAGAAGCAGAGGUUGAAGCGAGGGAAAUAGAGGCUGCAGCGAGGGAAGUAGAGCAGUGUAAAAAGUAUGAUAAACUCCAGCAGCAGCUUCAGAGUAUGAUGAAGAUGUUUCAGCAGUUGAAACAGCCGUCAUCUUAGACUAUCGUGUAAAUAUACUUCAAUUUUGACUUUUAAUUAUCAUUUUAACUUUUAACAUUUUUGUAAGAAUAAUACGAAUUUUAUUUUAUUUAUUGAUAUUUAUUAUAUAUUAUUCGUUUAAUUUUAAAUAUUAUAUAGAUUUAUUGCUUUUGGUUGGUUUAGAUUUAGUUUCUUCUGAUUUGUUUUUGCAGGAGGGAUGAAAAUAUAAAAAAAUUUCUUUUACAAAUCUAUCAAAAUUAGUGGCGUUUGUGGGAAAAGCGCUGCUAAAGAUCACGAUCUUCCGCGGCGUUUGCGAUAAAAACGCCGCUAAAGAUCAGGGACUUUAGCGGCGUUUGUUGGAAAGGUACCGCUAAAGAUCAGGGUUUUUAGCGGCGUUUUCUGGAGAAGCGCCACUAAAGAUCAGGGUCUUUAGCGGCGUUUGUCAGAGAAGCGCCGCUAAAGGUCAUUAUCUUUAGCGGCGUUUGUUUGGUAAGCGCCGCUAAAGACCAUGACCUUUAGCGGCGUCUUUCCAUGGUCUUUAGCGGCGUUUGUGGUGAAAGCGCGGCUAAAGCUCUUGGUCUUUAGCGGCGUUUAUUUCUAAAAACGCCGCUAAAGUUAGCGACGCAGUCAUUAGCGGCGUUUUUUGUGGCGCUUCUCAAAGCGCCGCUAAAGGCCUAAAAAAGCGCCGCUAAAAGCCUGUUUUGGUGUAGUGUUGUAAAUGGUAUACAUUUUUCCUAUAAAGGUAUCAAUUCAAGUUUAGUGAAUUGGGAAACCUUAAUUGAUGUAUACCAAGGUAAUUAAAGAGCGUACCUAAGGUUUUUUGGGUAUAAAACCUUAAGAGGAUUAGACAUGUUUUUGUUUCUUUCUUUUCUUUUCUUUUUGCUCAGAAAUACAAUUUUAUUAAUAAGUGAAAAAAAUACUAGUUGAACUUUUGUAAAAUCUAGAGGGUUUUAGUUAAAUCAUAAAAACUAAAGAGAAAGUUCUAUCGUAGUCUUAUGAAAAAGAUAAUACUUGUAAAUGGUAUACAUUUUUCCUAUAAAUGUAUCAAUUCAAGUUUAGUGAAUUGGGAAACCUUAAUUGAUGUAUACCAAGGUAAUAAAAGUAGACGAUUAAAAUUGAACUACUAUAAAUUAAUUGUCGAAGGUUUCUUUCUUUCUUUUUUUUUAAGUUUGGAAAAAAAAUUAAAUACCAAACUACCCAUAUUUUCCGGCCUAUCAAUAUUAUAAUUCUUAAAAAAGCAAUCACACAAAAAGCAACAUUUAUUUUUUGAUCACUUAUUUCCUAAUAAUAUGAACACCUCCCAAUUUCCUAACCACCUAGGGAUGAAAAAGCACAUUCCUUUUUUCAUAAAUAGAAAUAUAGAAGGUCAAAGUGUAAUUUUCUUUACACAUUGUUUUAGUAAACCAACCACAUAGUGGCAAGGGUGGAGCUAAAGGGGCUGGCAAUGGCCCCGACCCUUCUUAAAAUGAAAAUUUUCACUUUUAGUUUUUUUUUAUAAUUUAAAAAAAUUUAAAUUAGUAUAUGGUAAAAUUAAACUUUGGCCUCCUCAAGAAUGAGAAAAAAUUAAUUUAAUCCUUUAAAAAUUAUAAAGAUAUAAACUAUUAAAAUAGUAAAAUUUCACUUUUACUAUUAUAAAAUAUACAAUUUUAUUUCAGUCAAUCCUCAAAAUUUUUUUAACUCCACCCAUGCGUGACAUACCAAUUGAUUGAAAAUUCUUGAAAUGAGUAAUCACAAUGCCACAUGCUCUGAGUAUUUUGCUUUUUCUUUCAUAUCAAAAUGAAUGGUUAUUGAAAUACCAAGUUUUAAACUUGUGAUAUACAUAUAUAUAUAUAUAUUCUUCCCUUCUAUGUGAUAGUGUUACCAAGCAUUCCCAUAUUUCAUUGAUUUUCUGCAGUUUUAGUCUCAUAAUAUCAGAUGCAUAUUGCUUUAAGUUGAUGCGUUUGACACACAUAUAGAUAGACACGUUUAUGGGGUUUGCAGUUUUAGCGUCAUCAUAUUAGACUUUAAUGCGAAAAAGGGAAAAGCUUCAAUAUGGUAUAUCGCCAUUGGAUAUAACACAAAUCAACUAUUCAACUUGGCCGUAUAAGGCAAAUAUUUCAAGCAAUGCGUCCAAUGGUUUUAAAUACUAUAAUUUUUUUAUAAAUUUAUUUAUUUCGGUAUAUAAUUAAAAUAAUUUUAUUUUUUUUUGUAAUUUUUUAUAUGAUUAAUAUUUUAAUAAUUUAAUUGUUAAAUUUAUUAUUAUUUUUGUAUUUAAAAUGUAUGUAAAAUUUUGAACCGAUUCGAUAUCUCUACUAUAUUGAUAUAAAAUAUUGUCUAUAUUAUUAUAUAUUUAACGGUUAAAUUUUUUUUACAUAAAACAAAUGGUUAGAAAUUUUAAUUUAUGAGUACAUGAGUGAAGUAUGAAAUAUGACAAUUGGAUUGUUAAAAUAUAAAUCAUAUAAAAAAUUACCGAAUGGUGUAAAACCACUUUAAUUUUACAUUUUUGUAAGUAGAUCUCUCCCUUUUUUUUUAUCAAUUAAUAUUUGAUAAAUUGUUUGGUACAUAAGUCUUAUGUACAUCAUUUAUUAAUAAGAUGAUACAAUAUUAUUGGUGUAAAAUAAAAAAUAUUAAAAGACCCUUAAAAAAUAAAUACUAUUAAAAUAAUUUAAAUAUGAUUAAAAUUUAAGUUUAAUUAUUUUGCUUCUCUUUCUAGUUUUCUUUUGGAUUUCGAGUUUUGAAUUGGGUAUUUUUUUAUGUUUAAUAAAUAUAAUUAAUAUUUAUUUUUAAAAUAAAUUUAUUUAUAUUUAUUUUUAAAUCCUUCAAUAUUUUUUUGUUUUAUAUCAAUAACAAUGUUUCAUUUUAUUAUUAACUGGUGGUGCAUAAAAACUGUACACCGACAAUACAUCAAAUAUAAAUAUAUGAUUAUACUGAUGUUUAUUAUUUUUAACAAAACUUAUAUAGCAUCCUGCAAGUAAAGUUGUUAAAUAAAAUCGAUAAAAUAUUAAAACUACAAAUAAAUUUUGAUUUUAUGCAAUUUUAUACAUGAAAUUUUUGUUUGAUUCAAUUUAUACAAAUCACUAACAAUGUUAUCUAGGUAGCACAUUUUUAGUUUAUAUAUAGCACACACAAACAAUUAUAUUAAUCCAAUAUGAAAAUAAAUAGAUAUAUAUUUAUUUUUUUAAAUAUGUACAAUUGAAUCAAAAUCAAAGUUCAAUAUAUAUAUUUGAAACACAACCAAAGUUUCGUGUACUUAAUUGCACCACAACAAAUUUCAUGUAUAGUUUUGAUACUUAUUCCUAAAUAAAAUUAUAAAUCAAUAAAGUUUUAACUAAAUAAUAAGACCAAAAUCCUAAAAAAUUUGAGAUCUUAAAUUCAAAUCCCAACCUAAAUAGAAAUGGUAGAUUCUCUUCCAGAUUUAUUUUACGUAAGUAAUUUGAUUCAUUAACAAUAUAUUAUGUAGAAUAUAUUUUUAAUACAUCAAAUAUAAAAAUUAUAAAUAAUCCCUACGAAAGUUUAUAUUUCACAUGCUUUUGCAAAAUAUAUAUUAUAUUUAGUAAACCUGUUACGUAAGGGGUUUGUCGUGCAUGGACGUUACCAGUUCUAUCAGAACAAGGAAAUACCGUUUUCCUGAUAAAUCAUUAUUUAUUCCAACUAAAUCAAAAAUUUAAUUAAUGAGUAUUAGUUUGACUGUUAUAAAUAUUAUUGUAAAUAUAGGAGGAUAUUGGUUCGAGUAUACUGAAGCGCAUUAUUCUCCUAUUUAUGGGUUGGGGACGAGCUUUAGAUAAUUUUAAGCAUUCUAUAAAAAAACAGAUAUCAAAACUCGUAAUUAAAAAAAAUCUGAAUAUUGAUAAAUUUUUUGAAACUUUAAUUAUGAGAAAAAAAUAAAAAUUCUAAAAGUUCUAAAAAAUUUUAAAAAAUUUUAAAAUUCCAAAAUAAUCUAAACAAUUGAGAUUUCUUUUAAAAUUGUUAUAUUUUUAAAUUAUAAAAAUUAAAAUAAUCUAAAAUUUCUAUAAAAAAAAACCCCAGGACUAAACCAUAUUUGUCCAAAACACAAUCAACACAUCUUUAAUUUGAAGGAGAAAGAAAUUUAUCAUAUCUUUUUUCACAUAACCUCAUUUUAAUACGAUUAAACUCAAAUGAUGUUUCCCAAAACUCAAAUUAAAUUAUAAAUCAGAACAAAUCUAGGUAAACACAUGUCUAGGUUCAUCUGCGGCUCCUCCCCUACUUUUUGAUAAUUAAUUAAUAAAAUGAUGUAAUUAUUGAAAACGAAAGAUCUACACAAACAUUGAUAUCAAUGUAAGACUCAUUCUCUCAUCUAACUUUUUUUUUUUUUGUCUCUGUCUAAUUUUUCCAUUAAACUAUAUAAAUAUAUAUUUAUUUCUCCAGAAAUGGCUUUUGGGGGUUAGGGAUGGUUGAAUUUGCAAUCGUGGCUAAAGAUAGAGAUCACCUACCUAGACCAACAAUUCAAACACGUGACAUGUUUGAUUCCAAUGCCUUACAUUAGCAUUUUGGGGACAAUUUUCGGCCACGAAAAAUUUCUCAAUAAAGAACUUCUUUGGCCUCAGGAGUUGACCAAGAAAACAAUAAUGGAAGGGAAUCGGCCUAAAAAAUUAAGUCAAGAAAUGACCCAAUUGGACCUUUUAUGGUUAUUAUUAUUUAUUAUUUGAUGGAAUUAGAUUAGUAAGAUCAAAUUCAAAUUGAAUCAAUUUGAGUUUUAAAUUUUUUUUGAAAUAUUUCAGGUUCUAAUAAUUUUGGGAUUAAAUCAUUUCGAAUUUAAAUCAUUUUUUACUCGAGUUAUUUGAAUUUAUGAGUUGAGUUAUUCGAUUAUUGCAGAUUCAAAUAAUUCUAAGUUUGAUAACUUUUAUUUGUCAUUUCGAGUUUGGGAUGGACGGAAUCGAAUUGUUAACUUUUUAUAGUGAAACUGGAUUUAAUCUCAUAUUCAUAUUAAUCGAAUCAAAAUUUCUUGUUUAGAUCAAAAUUAAUAGAUUUAAAUUAAAUCGUAAUUAUAAUAAACAAAUGAGAGAUGCUUUACUUGCUAUUUCAUUUGAGCGAAUUUUGCUAAUUUAAUGGUUUACCAUAAAAACUUUCUGUUUCUCAAUAAUAUGAUGCAUAUGAGUGGGUCUAUAUACUCAUUUAUAAGGAUGUUCAUAAUUAUGUAUAAAAAAGUCAACCAAUUCAUGAACCAUUAGAAUGCAAGAAUCAAAUUGUAAGGUGAUCAGUCACCACACUUGGGGUUCCUAACCAAAUUUGCUUGGAAGGAUAUGAUAAUAAAUAAUUUUGUGCCUCUAGCUACCCCCAAUUCAUGCACUAGUAUAGAUUGGUUUUUAAUAUAGCCUAUGUAAGAAAUAUGGUAAUUAAUAUAUCUUCGUUUUUAAUAAAUUAAAUGUAAUAUUUUAUCAAUAAUUACAUGCAAAUGGGAAUGUCUUUCAAUAAUCAUAUAAAAGGGGUAAAUGAAGCCUUAACUUAAUGGUAAAGUUGAAGCAGCGAGAAUUUUAAUAUCCCAAGUUUAAGUCUCAUUAUGUAAAUAUAUAAAUUUUCUAAAUUUAUUCUGAUUAGUUAAUUAAUGUAAAUUGAAUUAAUUGUUAACUUAAUUAUAAAAUUCAGUGCUGGAUUGAUUUUAUUGAAAUUAAUGCAAUCUUAAAAACACCAUAUAAAAGGGAAGAAUUGCCUUCCCUAACUACUCAUUCUUUACCACUAACUUCACCAGUUCGAUUUGGAGUGAAUUUAUUAAGAAGUAAAUUCAAUAAAUUUUAUGCCGAUUGAAUCUUAACAAUGUUGGUAAUUAUAUUAUUGUUAGUAUAGAAAGACGUAGAUAUAAACACUUUCAAGUAUAAUUUAUCUUUUACUUAAAAUUAGUAUAGAAUUAUGAGUAAUUCGUAUAAAAAAACUAUAUUAUCAAUCAAACUUAUAAUGUGAUAGUGAAGAACUUUCAUUAAAAUAAAAUUUUAAUUGAUAUCGGAAAUCGAAAUAAUAAUUGUGGCCCAGAAGAGAUCUAAAGAAGAAAAAUAUUAUAUUGAAAACCCUAAGCCAAUUAUUUUGGUAUUUUGUUGACCAAAGAACCCCAACCCAAAAAAGAUAAUGAAAAGGUAAAGGUCGGAACUAAUAGAUGAAAAUCAUACUAUAAUAUAAUUUUUUUGGAUAAACAUACUAUAAUGUAUUAUGUUGGGAUUCUUAAGGAAUGCAAUGACUUGCCACGGAAUGUAGAAUAUUAGAAUUGUAAAGAAUUCGUUGGAUGUAUUGCUUCAAGUUCUCCAAGAGCCAAUAGACUCUACAAGUUUUAAAUAAAUAAAUAUAUAUAUAAAUUUCGACAAGACUGACAAGUGGCUCAAUUAUAGCUGUUUAAAACCCUCAAAAAAUUGGAAUAUAAUAAACCACUUAGGUUACAUUGAUUUCUCACUAUAACAGUUCCAUAUAUAAUAGAAGAGAGAGAGUGAAUUAGUCGACUUGUAAUAAAAUGAUUGGAUAUUAAACCAAUUUUUUUGUUGGGCCAAAAAAAUAAUAAAUAGGGUUUCCCCAAGGUUUUGUCCAUUGAAAACAUACGUAAGGGGUUUUGAAUUGUAAGCUAAAUAUAUAAAGCUUAAUCCAUGAAUGGACGGCGAUUAUGAUAAAAUAUAUAUGCUAAUUAGAGGAAGUUAGAUUGUAACCAAAGAUUUCAUCAUCCAUCAUGCAUUAAAAUUCUUUUGGAGCAAAUGAUUUGUCAUCUCUGAUGUGGCAAAAAAACCAACAUGCUUAUCAAGUUCUUUCUACGAGAAAGUAUUGUAUGAAACAUAUAUAUUAUUAUUUUUUAAUAGUUUAAUGUCACAUCAACAAUUUCAUCUUAAAUUUUAAGAUUUUCAUUUGAAUUUUAUAUUUUUUAGGAUGAAAAUACUGAAAUUCAGAUUAAAAAUAUUGAUGUGACAUUAAAUUAUUGAAAAAAGAUAUAGAUAACAUAGUGUAUGAGAUUACAUGCUUAACUCAUUUAGAUGCUCAUAACAUCAAAAUUUUAUGUUAAUGCUAUCAUAAUAUUUUCUUUCAUGGAAAUAAUAUUGAGAUAAUGGAGACUAGGUUUAAGGUAAAUAUUAUCAUGUAUAUUGAUAGUGGAGUUUAAGCAAAAGAAAACAAAAAAUGACACGUGAAUUUGGCUUUUUGUUAUUUGCAAGAUACGUGGAACUUUAAACUCAUGGUCAUUUGUAGGCAAAUUAUUAUAAGAGGCCUGACUCUUUUGUUUUCCAUCCCAAAAUUUCCUAUUCCUGUGGUAAAAGUUUGAAAUUUCUUUUUGUUGCAAUACCUGCUGAGUGGCGAAUUAUUCAACUUCAUAAAUUUUAGUACGUUCUUUCCCUCCAUGGAUACUGAUUUUGAUUAUUAAUAUUUUAUCUACUUUUAAAGAUGAAUAAAAUCAUGUUUUAGAAAAUUGCGCUUCCAAGAUUAAUAACAAAAUUAACUCGAAAUAAGUAGCAAUGUUGUUUCACUUAAUUUCUCUCUUGGAAGAAUAACUCUUGUUUAGAAUAGUUGUUGCUUAGAACAACUUUUGUUUGAGAAUAGUUAUGUUUGGAAUAGCCAUGUUCAAACCAAGGCUCUAGUUUAAAACUGUUAUCAUCUGAUGUAGUUGUCGUUUGAGAAUAGCUCAUGUUGAAAACAAGUCUUGUUUAGAAUAAUUAUGUUUCAAGAACAACUAGGUUUAGAAGACCAUUGUUAAGAACAACUUCUAUUUGAAACAAUUGCGUUUUUUUUCUCUAGAAGAGCCAUUAUUCGGGAUAGACUCUCUCAAAAAAAGCAUCACCACGUAAUAGCUCUUGUUUGGAACAACCAUGUUGAAAACAAUUCACAUUAUGAACAUGUCAGAAUAACCCUCAUUCAAGAACAACUUUUUUUAAGAAUAACUUGCAUUUCACGAGAUGGUUUGCGAAAAAAUGUGUCCUUCACCAAAAUAGAGGAAGUGCAGGGUUCUUAGGUUGUAUUCACACUUGUAGUCAAAGAUCGUAUCCGUGUUUUGCUAAACACUAUUUUGUCAAAAACUAUCGUCUCCCUUAUGCUACUUUCUAUCAAUGUGUUUUGUCUUUAUGUGGUUUCUUAGGGAUUUAGCUAUAUCCGCAUUGUUGUAGUGCCAUAGUUUUUUCAUACCUCACAUUUGGCCCUCUAGAAUGAAGUUAGCAGUGUAACUGAUGGUCACUAAACUAACUAUAAAUAAGACUAAGACAAGCGCACCUAUCGAACAAUAGUAUAGUUAUGGUAAGUAGGGAAUAUCGUAUCCAUGAGGACUAUAAGUACUAGUAAUUACCCUUUUUCUAUUAUUUAGCCGAUAAAUUGGAGUGAUUGUUUUUAAUCUAAAAUUACUAAACUAAUCUAACUAAUAAUGCAACAGAGAAUGAAAUAGGAAAAUAAUUGAAGAUAACCAAUGAGAUCGACAAUACCCAAGAAAGAAUCCACCUAGACUUCACUUAUUAUUAUAAAUCUGAAUUAAAUGAUUUAUUCACUUGUGUCUUGAUCCGUAAAAAUCCCUAAAUUAUGUUAAUAUCUCUUUCGAGAGUAAGAACAACUAACUCUAGGUUGAUUAAUUGAAACCUCUUUCUAAUUAAAACCCCUAUCGUCGCAUUAACUCAAUCUAUGGAUUCCCUUAUUAGAUUUGACUCUAAUCCGGUAGAUUUAUGUCGUCCUAUUUCUAGGAUUGCAUACAACUCCACUCAAUUAUGCUAGAUUUACUCUUAAACAGAGCCUUUUGUUCCACUGAAUUAAGCACAUUAAACAUGAAUUAAUAUCCCUAGAAAUAUUCAAACAAGAAAUAAGCAUACAUAAUUGAGAACAAGAAUCAAGUAUUUAUCGCGUAAAUCAGAAAUCAAAUAAUAAGAUUCAUCAUAGGUUUUAUCUUCCCUAGGUAUCUAGGGAAUUUAGUUCGUAAUCCUGAAUAAAAACAUCUCAAAGUUAGGAUAACCACAAGACAUAAAUAAACUCAAUAAAACUUCGAAAGAAAUUAAAUGGAGAUCUUCGAUCUUGAGGGAGAUCCACUUUCGAGUUGAUUCCGAUGGCGUUCUUCGAGUGUUUUCUUCAAUCUUCUCUGAUUGCCCAUUUAUGUCUUCUUCUAAUUGGUAUUUAUAGGCUUUAUAAUGCUCAGAAAAGCCUAAAAAUUAGGUUUUUUUUGCGUAUUUGGGAAGCUUUACGCUUUCUAGUUCUCUUCCUUUCCACUUGUGAUGGCCCAGAGACCUUAGUCUUGCUUUUCUUAGCGCGUCUUCCCUUCCCUUUUGAGGAAGAAGCAACAACUAUAUUUGUUUCUUCUCUUCAGACAGACAUUAUGUUAUAAUCAAGGUUAAAAUAAGUCAUAGGUCCAUCUAUUUUUAUAGAUUUGAAAUUUUAGCCCCUACAUUAUUGUUUCUAAGAAUUUAGCCUCUUUAUUUUUCAAAUUUCAAAAUUUAGGUUUAAUUGUUAAUAUUGUUAAAUAUUUUGAAAUAAAAAAUACACAUUUGGUAGCAAUGUAACUAAAUAAAUGAUGUAAUGAACUUGAAAUUUAACAAAAUAAUCUUCCAUUUUAAUAAUGUUAACAUUUAAACCUGGAUUUUAAAAUCUGAAAUUUAAAAAAUACUUACUUCAUAGUAGUAUAACUAAAUAAAUAAUGUUAAAAUUUUAAUAAUGUUUCUGUACUAUAUUUCUCUUCUCUUCUUCUUUUUCUUUUUAAAUUAUAAGGUAAUGGUUAAUUUUCAAUUCUAAUCCUUCUAUUUUUUGAGAUUAUAUAAUUUGGUUCUUAUAUUACACUUAAAUUUGAGAUUUAAUCUGUAUAAUUUAAUUUUUAACAUGAUUUGAUACCUCAAGUUUUAUAAUAUCAUUAAUUAUUCUAAAUAAUUUAUUCUGGUUAAAAUACUUAUGCAAAUUUUAAGAAUUGCUAACUCUGUUUAAAUUCUUUGUUAAAUUCUAGUCCAUUACAAUGUCAUUUUUUUGUUAUAUAACUAUUAAGUGAGGUUUUUUUUAUAAAAUGUCACAUCAAUAAAUUUAACAGAAGAAUUUUAAUGGUGUUGAUAAUUGAACUUGAAUUUUUAAAUUAAAAAAGUUGAGAAAGUAAAAUUUUGAAAACAAAAGUAUAAUAACUAAAAUCUAAAUAUACAAAAAGUACAGAAACAUAAAGUAUAGGUACCAUUUAAUUUUUUUCUUUAUAAAUUAACCUAAAAAAAUAGUUAAUCCAGCACAAAGCUUUGGAACCAUUUCAAAAGAAGAUACCGCUCAACUUAAUAACUAAUACUACAUUUAGUUGUAGUAUUAUUUUCUAGGCUUGUUUUAGUAUAUGAAUUAGUAAUAAAUUAAUUUAAUUGGUAAUAUUUAAUCACCCUGGCGGCUUAUUUUUAGUAAAGAGAAGAAAAAUAUUUCAAUUAUUUUGAAGAGAUCUUAUUUUUUACAAGAGUUUUGACUCGUCUUUUUACAAGAGACCUUAGGUCUAACCAUUAUAAUACACAUGUAAUAAAUACUUUUUUCCCCUAUUUUAUAUUAUUGUAACCAAACGAGACGUAUCAUGAAAUGGACAAUUAGGGAUAAUAUUUGAAAAGGUCCAACAAUAAUUAAGAAUGAUUCCAAGUGUGGGGAAUCUACUGGUUUAGUCUUUCGAUUCGGAUACUACUUUUUGAUUUUUUACCUUUCUUUAAUUUUAUAUUAUCUAAGAUGAUACAGUUGAAAAUCUACAUAUUAUUAUUAUUUUAAUCUACGCAUUGAGGAUUUAAUUUUUGAAAGAGAAAUUAAUAAUAUUAUUGUUUUUUCUUACCCUCCGCCACAAUCAAAGGAAAUUAGAAAAAAUAAACAUAUGGAAGAAAUGGCAGAAAAUAAUUGGACAUAUUUGGAAAAAAUGUGACAAACGUGAGUAGAUUUAUAUGAUUAUAUUAAGUUCUUGAAGAGCUGUCAAUUAAAUAAUGGUGAGUGUGAAAAGAUUUUUGUUGACUUAAAAUUUUCAUUAAUAGGGUUGAAAUCCCAAUAACUUGUUUUGUUAUUAAAAAAUUAUGUCAAAAUUAUUAAAUUAUUAGUAAAUUUAUAUUUUGAUUAUUUAAUUUUAAGAAGUUAUAAAAUGUUUAUUGAAUUAUUCAAAAGCUUUCAUUUAAGUCAUUGGGCUAUCAAAAUCGCUAUUGUAUGGCCUUCUUUGUUUGCAUCGUUUGCACUAAUCGAAUGCUCCCAUUCUCAUCUUUUUAAUGAAAUUAACAACUUUAAAUGGCAUGAAUCUGCGAGCAAAAAUUCAAAUAGUUUUCUUUUCCAACCUCCAACACCGAUCGUCAGAUUGACUUGAUGUAGGGUAUUUUCUUUCACUUAUCAUUGGGUAUUGAUCAAUUGUACAGAUCGUCAAAUCACCAUUUACAGCUUGCUAACCGGAUUAAAAAAAAAACUUAAUAGCCCAAUAAAUUAAAUAAAAACUUUUGAAUCAUUUAGUGACUUAAAUAAAAAAUUUUGAAUAGUUCAAUGACAUUUUAUAACUUUUUCAAAUUGAUUGAUCAAACUUACUAAAAGUUUUGUUAGUAGUUUAUCCUAAAAAAAGUCAAGAGCCAAUAGGCUCGACGAGAUAUGACAAGUGGCUCAACUAUAACUGUUUAGAGAGAAGGGAUUGUAUGAAACUGUGAUUCCACGUCAUCUCUAUCUCUUCCUAAUAGGAGAAUGACAAAUCAGAUUUUUCCUCCUUAUUUUUAGCAUUUUUAGUUGGAUUUGAAUUUUUUCAGGAUAAAAAAAAUGAAAAUCAGAACGAAAAAUAUGAUUUGUCAUUCUUCUAUUAGAAAAAAAUAGGGAUGACGUGGAAUCACAGUUUCAUACAAUCCCUUCUCCUGUUUAAAAACCUCAUCAGACUUGAUUCCUCAUACAUUAUUUCGAUAAUAGAAGAAAAUGUUUGGAAAUUAAACCAAUUAUUUUAAGAAAUAAGGUUGCAUGUAUCUGCCCCUUGAAAGAAUACGUAGUGGGUUUUGGAUGAUAAACUAUAAAAAUAUAUAAAGCUUAAUCCAUGAAUGGUCGGCAAAAACUGUUAUAAGUCAACCAAAUAUUAUUGGGACAUUUAGGAUAACCAAAGAUUUCAUCAUCCACCACGUAUCAAAACUCUUUGGGGACAAAGAAUAUGUCAUCUUUGAUGUGGCAAUUAAACCAACAUGCUUAUCGACUUCUUUUGAUUGAUUAGCAGAUGACAUGCUAACUCAUUUAUAUGGUCAAAGAACCAAUUUUGUUAUUGCUAGAUUUAUAGCUAUAAAUAGAUUGAAUUUUAAAUUAAUUGGUAAUAAUAUUAUUGUUAAUAUAAAAAAAUAUAGAUUCGAGUAAAAUAAAUAAUAUUAUUUGGGUUAAAUCAUGUUGGCACAAAAUUCAAAAUUUCUUUUAAAAUCACUUCCAUUACUACACUUUUGUGAAUAAUUAAGCAUGAUCCCAAGUGUUGGGAAUGUACUGGUUUAUCACAUUUUAAAAUCAUACCAAUUAAUCCCUUUUCGAACCCACAAUUGAGGUUUAUUGCUGUUAAAGCCGGAAAGGGAACAAGAGAAAGUGGAGUGCACAAAGAAAAUUAAUAUUAUUUCUUUUUUCUUACUUUUCCCCACCAUCAAGGGAAAUAGAAAAAUAAACAUGUGAAUGUAAUGCCAAAAAGAGAAUAGGGGAACUUUAGGGAAUAAAAAAGUGAUAAAGGUGAUUAGUUUUUCCUCCUACAUGAAUGUAAACUUAAAAGUUGUUUUAUUUUACUUCAUAUUUUUUUAAUAAUUUAAUAAUAUUUUAUUAUAUAUUGAGGUAGAUUUUAUACAUGUCAAGUUUGGAAUAAAUUUAAAAUUUUAACUAUUUGUUUUAAACAAAAAAAGUUCAACCAUUAAAUAUAUAUUAAUAUAGACAAUUUUUUAUAUCGAUAUAGUAUAUAUACCAAAUUGAUUAAAAAAAUUUAAUAUAUAACAAAUAUAAAUAUCUUGAUAAAUUCAAUGGUUUGAUUAUUAAAAUAUAAAUCAUUUUAAAAAAUUAUAGAAAUGUGUAAAAUCACUUAAGAUUUAAGUCAAUAUAAGUUGCUCGUUUCCAUUAUAUAAUGUCUAUUUUCUUUAGUUAAAAAUUCAUAAUUGUGAAAAAGCCUUGGUUUAUAGUUGUUCCAAUUUAAUGUUUAAAUUGUUAGUUUGUGAUAAAGUGAAGUAAGAAGCAAAGUAAUGAGAGAAUAAAGACCAGCACGCAAUAUUUAUUAACGUGGUUCAUAUUCAUUAAUCCUACUCUACGAAGCUUCCCUCAAAGAAUUAUUAUAUUCAAUAAUUGAAUCAGAUCACCUAUUUGCUCCAGCCCAAUCUACCAUUGUAACAACUAAUAUUGCGGCCCCAUUAUUGAACCCAAUUAUUAGAAUCACUCUCCAAGUAAUAACUAAAAAGAGUGUCAAACCAAGCAACAAAGAAUACAAAAUAAAGCAAUCGAACAAGACACUUAAAAACCCCUCAUUGGAGGUGUGACUAUGCUGCCUAUUUAUAAUCAUCUUCAAGUUCUCACCACGACCCGGUGUGACUGGAUGGAUAGACUAUUGUAGUCCUACUUGGUGUGAUUGGUUGGAUAGAGUUGGUGUGUAAUGGAUGAGGGUGGGAUUUGUGAUUGCAUCUGUAUCAAAAUUUGCGUUUGCAUUUGUAUCUGAAUUUUAUUUUGUGUCAAAAUCUUAAUAUGCAUCUGUAUCCGAUUAUGAAAUACAUCUAAUUCUAUAUAAGAGAAUCUAUUUGAGAUUUUUUAUGAUAAAAUUAUGAAUUUCGCUCUGAUAUAUGAAUAUGAAAAUAUGAUAUUCCAAUCUAACAUAUGUUUCUGGCAAUUGUACAUUAUAAGUAAAUUUUUUGUGAUGGUUUUUACAUUUGUGUUUGUUAUAAAUAUAUACUAUUUGUGGGUCAAGUCACACACUGGGCUUCUAGCUCAUCCGUUUAUUUAAUACGUUUCAGGUGACCUUCAGGCUUAGGACUUGGCGGCGAUUCUGGAGUUCAGUUCACACAAUAUGUUAUAAGUACGUUUUGAAUUUUGAUUUCGAACUUUACGGUCUUUCAAAUUUUAAUUUGUUUGGGAACGUUACAUUUUAGUUUUUGGUAUUUGUUUUUGCGGACGUGUUAUUUAUAACUCGUAAACACACCCAAGGCGACAUAACUGAUGAAACCCUAAGAUCUUAAGGGAUAAGAAUUUUUAAAGUAUUUUCUCGUUGUAAGGUUUUGAAAUUAAUUACGAUGUUUUACAACUCAAUUGGUUAAACGUUUGAGAUUGUUUUUUAUAAAAUUAAUAAAACAAGGUUUGUGUUAAAGUGUUCAGACACAAUCUUCUGAAUACUUGUGUUUUGAUUAAUUAAAUAAUUUUACUACUCUGAAAAUAAAACUAAGUUUUCAUGCAAGUUAAUCAGUAAUGUUUUUACGAAUGUUGUAACCUUCAUAAUCCGACCUUAACAUCUAGGCUAGGUUUGGAGUGUUACAAUUUUACAUUUUAUUCAAUUUAAUCCCUAAUAUACAAAGCUGUCAAUUAUGCUUUACAAUUUAGUCUUUUUCUUAAACUAAGCUUAAAUCAAAUUAACACCUAGAACUUCUGAUUCCCAACAAUGAAAACUUUUUAAAAAUUUAACAGUUUUACAAAUUACUACAUGGGCAAGCUAAAUCAAAUUCCUAUGAGUUCAAAUAUAUAAAAAUUACAAGAAAAGAACUUGAAUUACUUACCUAAUGCUUGGUCGAAUGUAUGUUGUAAACAUGGAGUUUUUCUCCUUUUGUUUUAAGUGAUGGGCGGUAGAGAAGAUGAAGUUUCAUCUUUCCAUCCACUACUUGCUAUUUAUACUAGGUUUACUCUGUAAAAAUAUAACUUUGGUAAUGACAAUAUAUCGCAAAGAAAAUAGAAAUAGAAAUAAAAAUAAAGAACACACAGAUUUUACGUGGAAACCCUUUCGAGAAAAAACCACGGGCAGAGAAGAAGAAAAUUCACUAUGUCGAAUUCGAAUUGAUUACAAGUGGAGUAGACUAUGUCUAUUUAUAGGCUUGUAAAACCAUAUUCUAAUAGGAGUGAAACACCUUAUUCUAAUCAAUAUCAAAUAAAUAGAGUUUAAAAAGGUUUAAAAAACCUUAUUCUAAAAUAAAAUAAAAGAAGUAUAAUUCUAUAGGGAUUUUACUUUUAUUUUAUUUUACCACAGUAUUUUAUUUAAAUAAGGAUUCAGAUUACUUAAUUCUAACAAUCUCCACCUUGACAUGAAUUCUUAAUGAACAAGUUCUUCAUCGCGAACUCUCAACGAAUAAGUUCUCCACCUCUUCCAUAAAACCCCUUAAGGGUUUAUCUUCAACAAGGAACACCAACCAAGUCUAAGCAAUGCUCAAACUUGGUUAUAGGAAGUGACUUAGUCAUCAUAUCUGUAAGAUUUUCAUGAGUACUAAUUUUGCUCACAAUAAUAUCACCACGAGCAAUAAUAUCACGAACAAAAUGAUACCGAACAUCAAUGUGUUUUGUUCUCUCAUGAAACAUUUGAUCUUUUGUAAGGAAGAUGGAACUCUGACUGUCACAAAAUACUGUAUUGAUUUGAAGGUCUUCAUUGAGUUCACUAAAGAGUCCCUUCAACCAAAUAGCUUCUUUACAAACCUCAGUAAUCGCCAUGUACUCAGCUUCAGUGGUAGACAAAGCGACUGUAGUUUGCAAAGUGGCUUUCCAACUGAUUGCACAACCUCCGAUUGUAAAGACAUAACCUUUGAGAGAUCUUCUUCUAUCGAGGUCUCCAGCAAAAUCAGCAUCAACAUACCCAAUGACUCCAUCUCUAGUUCUUCCAAACUGUAAGCAAACAUUGGUAGUACCUCGUAAGUAUCUUAAAACCCACUUAACUACUUUCUAAUGUUCUUUACCGGGAUUUGCCAUGUAUCUGCUAACUGCACUAACUGUAUAUGAUAAAUUUAGACGUAAACAAACCAUGGCAUACAUGAGAGAUCCCAUUGCACUAGAGUAUGGAACAUGUGACAUGUACUCAAUCUCAUCAUCUAAUUGUGGAGACAAAGCCGAUGAAAGUCUGAAAUGGGUUGCUAAAGGAGUACUAACAGGCUUAGCAUUCUGCAUAUUGAAUCUGCAAAUAACUUUCUCAAUGUACCCAUUCUAACUUAGGUAUAAUUUACUUGCUUUUCUAUCUCUGAGAAUCUCCAUACCAAGUAUCUUCUUUGCUGGUCCCAAAUCUUUCAUAUCAAAUUCUUCACUUAGUUGGACUUUGACCUUUCUUAUCUCUCAUUUAUCUUUGGCUGCUAUCAACAUGUCAUCAAUAUAAAUGAGUAUAUACACAAAAGAACCAUCACUAUUUUUCUUAAAGUAAACACAACUGUCAAAGCUACUUCUUUUAAAAUCAUGAGAAGUCAUAAAGGAAUCAAACCUCUUAUACCACUGUCUUGGUGACUGUUUCAAACCGUAAAGAGACUUUUUCAGCAAGCAAACAUAGUCAUCUUUUUCUGAGACUGCAAAACCCUCUGGUUGUUGCAUGUAAAUAUCCUCCUCAAGUUCUCCAUGCAAAAAUACAAUUUUUACAUCUAACUGCUCAAGGUCCAAAUCAUACAUGGCCACAAUACCAAGCAAAGCUCUAAUCGAACUAUGCUUCACAACUGGAGAGAACACAUCUGUGAAGUCCACUCCUGGAAUUUGACUGUAACACUUUGCUACAAGCAUUGCUUUAUAUCUGGGUUCUUCAACUCUUAGAGUUCCCUCUUUCUUCUUAAACACCCAUUUACAACGAACAAGCUCUUUACCUUUAGGAAGUUUCACAAGAUCCCAUGUUUUAUUUUUUUUGUAGUGAUUCCAUCUCCUCUUGUAUAGCAAACAUCCACUUUUCUGAGUCUUCACAACUAACCGCCUUAGAAUAAUUAGAUGGCUCUUGGUUUGCAUCUAUAUUUUCAGCCACAUUUAAAGCAUAAGUAACUAUAUCAGCCCCGGCAUACUUCUUUGGAGGUUUAAUUUCUCUUUUAGUUCUGUUUUUGGAGAUAGAGUAUUAUGCUGAAGAAGCAACUCUAUUUUGAAUUUUUGUACUGGCUUCAGUAGUCAAUUCUGUUGUAGAUUCUGUAUUAAUCUGAUGCUCCACCUACUUUUGAUUUUCUUUAUUGGAAGAGUCUUUAAGAGAUAAGUUAGGUAGCAUAGUAGUUUCAUCAAAAACAAUAUCUUUGCUAAUCACAACUUUUCUAUUUUUAGGACAUCAUAACUUAUACCCUUUUACACCAGCUUUAUAACCAAGAAAAACACAUUUAAUGGAUCUUGGUUCUAAUUUUCCAUUAUCAACAUGAGCAUACGCAGGAGAACCAAAGAUCUUUAAAUCAGAAUAGUCAGUAGGAUUACUAGACCAUAUCUCUUGUGGAGUCUUUUUCUCAAUGGCAACGGAUGGAGAUCGGUUGAUCAAAAAACAUGCAGUAGAGGCUGCUUCGGCCCAAAAUGACUUUGGUAAGUUGGCAUUUAACAACAUACAUCGAACCUUCUCCAUGAUCGUUCUAUUUAUUCGUUCUGCAAUACCGUUUUGCUGUGGAGUAUAACGAACUGUCAAGUGUCUCACGAUCCCUUCUGACUUGCACAGUUUAUUAAAUUUAUCAGAACAGAACUCUAAGAUAUUGUUUAUGCAGAGGUAUUUUAUUUGCUUUCCCGUCUGUUUUUCAAUCAUGGUUUUCCAAGACUUAAAUGUGAAAAACACAUCGCUUUUCUGCUUCAGGAAGAACGCCUACACUUUUCUGGAAAAAUCAUUAAUAAAAGUUAGCAUAUAAUUAGCUCCACCUCUCGAAGGUACUUUGGAUGGCCCCCACAAGUCAGAAUGAAUAUACUCCAAUGUUCCCUUUGUGUUAUGGAUUCCUAUAAUGAAUCGAACUCUCUUUUGUUUCCCAAAAAUACAGUGCUCACAGAACUUCAGUUUGCAAAUUCCUUGCCUAUCAAGAAGUCCUCUUUUGUUCAAUUCUGUCAUGCCAUUCUCACUCAUAUGCCCUAGGUGCAUAUGCCAAAGUUUAGUAAUAUCAUCAUCUGGCAAGGAAGAGGAUACGACAGUUGCAUCAUCAGUAACAGUAGAACCCUGCAAAAGAUAUAACUUGAAAGCUUUAUCUGCCCUUUCAUUACAACGAGAGAACCUUUAGAAAUCUUCAAAACCCCACUUUCAGCUGUGUAUUUGUACCCUUUUGAAUCAAGAGUACUCAAUGAAAUUAAAUUUCUCUUCAAUUCUGGAACAUGCCGUACGUCAUUAAGUGUUCUGACAACUCCAUCAAACAUCUUAACUUUAAUUGUUCCAACACUUGUAAUUCUACAUGGAGCAUUAUUUCCCAUCAAAACAACACCUUCAGACACUAUUUCUUAAGUUGUAAACCAAUCCCGAUUGGGACUCAUGUGGAAGGUGCAGCCCGAAUCAAGGAUCCACUCCUCGCUCACUUUAAAAUUGUUCACAGAAGCAACUAGAAGUUGACCAUCGCUGUAGUCUUCUACAACAUCAGUCUUACUAGAAUUUUCUGGUUGUUUUCCGUUUUGAUUCGCAACUUCCCUUUUGAUCUUGUUCUGUAGGUUAUAGCACUUAGAUUUAAUGUGCUUUUUCUUCUUGCAGAAGUUACAAGUUUUACCUCUAUUUGAAGACUUCGAUCUACUUUUAGAUUUAUCGCGAGGAUUCUGUUCCUGUGUCCUUCCACGAUCAUCAUCAACAUUUCGAUCUUGUCUCCCACGAACAAUGAGACCCUCUUCUUGAGAGUCAUUUUUAACCACAAGAUGCUUCAUCUUAUCAUUCGAGGUUAAAGAAUCAUAAACCUCAUCAACUGUGAGACAGGGGCAACAAACAAAGUAGAAUAAGACAGGGGCAACAAACAAAGUAGAAUCAACCCUAGAUCUUCCUUAUCAUACUGAACCUCCAUGGCCUCCAAAUUUGAGAGAAUUUCUUUAAACACUGUCAAGUGUUCGUGCACAAACGCAUCUUCCUCCAAACGAUGAGCAUAAAGACGCUGCUUCAUAUGCAGCUUACUGGUUAGAGUUUUCGACAUACAUAUUUGUUCCAACCUCUUCCAUAAUCCAACAGCGGUCUUCUCCUUCAUCACAUCCUGUAAAAUUUCGUUAGACAGAUGCAGAUGUAACUGUAUUAACGCUUUUCGAUCCUUACACUUGUUCUCUUCCUCCGUCAAUGUUGAAGGCAUCAUAUCUACCCUUAGUAGGGCUUCCUCUAAGUCCAUCUGUGCAAGAACUGCCUGCAUCUUUAUCUGCCACAACGUGAAUCUGGUGUUGCGAUCUAACAACGAAAUUUCAUACUUCAAAGACGUCAUUACCGUGAUUGAGAUGAACAACCCAGAAGCUCUGAUACCAAUUUGUAGAAAUAUAACUUUGGUAAUGACAACAUAUCGUAAAAAAAUAGAAAUAAAAAUAAAAAACACACAGAUUUUACGUGAAAACCCUUUAGAGAAAAAAACCACGGGCAAAGAAGAAGAAAAUUCAAUAUGUCGAAUUCGAAUUGAUUACAAGAGGAGUAGACUAUGUCUAUUUAUAGGCUUGUAAAACCAUAUUCUAAUAGGAGUGAAACACCUUAUUCUAAUCAAUAUCAAAUAGAUGAAUUUUAAUAAGGUUUAAAAAAUCUUAUUCUAAAAUAAAAUAAAAGAAUUAUAAUUAUAUAGGGAUUUUACUUUUAUUUUAUUUUACCACAGUAUUUUAUUUAAAUAAGGAUUCGGAUCACUUAAUUCUAACAUACUAAACUUAGUUACAUUAGUUAAUUAUAUUAGUUUACUUAAUUAAUCUAUCAUCAUUAUAGCGUCCACUAAGUCUUAUUUUAAUAUGGUCUAAUUUUCGUUUUGGACUUUUGGUUAAUUGUAAUUUGGGUCCCCAAGUUAUUUUCUAAUUAAAAAUCUAUAGCAAUUAAACUUGUACAAUAUAGUCCCUAAACCUUAAUUAAUCACUAAUUCGGCUAAAUUAUUUAUUCAAAAUUCAAUUCAUCGAUACCCUAGCUCCUUGAAUAUCCUUAUUUUACAGACUCGAUUUACGAAAAUAAUAUCUCAAAACUGCAUUUUUCAACACAACUGAAACCAGGUCGUUAUAGAAAACUAUUAACAAAAAUGGAACUUGAAAAGCUCAUACAAACAUUUUUUAUUGAAAUAAUUACAACUUGGCUGGUGUUGGAAAAUAUGAUGUCAUCAAUGUUGUAUUUAAUCAAACUAAUAAGAUGGAUGAAUCUAGGGAAUCUAGUAGUUAUUUAAUUAACUAUAUACAUGAAUGUACAUAUCUAAGAUGCACGAAUAUAGUAGAUCAAGAGUCACAUUAAGAUGUAUGUGUAAAAAAUUAAGUCACUUGUAGCAAUUAUAUAAAGAGUUGUAAGAUGAGCCAUUGUGAGAAUGUAGAAGAAGAUUGUAAGAGAAUAUGAUGUGAAAAAAUAAAAAUGAAAUUUCAUUUCAUCUUGAGUAUCUCUUUCCUUCACCAUCACUAUCUCUAGAAUUCUCUCCAACAAAGUCAACAAUGAAAUGAACAUAGUAAUUAUACAAAGUUACAAACACAAAGUCUUAAUGGAACCUACUUAAUUUAGUGGAAGGUAGGUUCUGACUCUUCUAAUUCAAUACUUUCAUCAGCAAGUCUCAUAUCCUUAUACACAUACCAUUUAGCAAAAAUCAAAUAAACUGCCAAAUUCAAAGAACUUAGAAUUACCAAAAGCCAAUAGAAAUCGUAGUCUCCCUUGGUUCAAAUUGUCUGGCAGCCAUGGAUGCUUGUUUCGAGUGACCUUGUCAACUAUAGUAACCAACAAAGAACUAAGGAAAAACCCUAACGAAAGUGUACUAAGAAAUAAACCCGUACUCAUUGUUUUCAUCCCUUUUGGACACUCCCUUAAGAAAAAAUCAAGUUGACCUAUGUAUGUAAAGGCUUCACCGGCCCCUACAAACAGAAACUGAGGGACCAACCAAAAGACACUUAAUGGGAUUUGAGCUGUGGGGUUGUUCGUAAGGCCGUUCCUGGUUGCCGCUAUCAACCGCUUUAUCGCGGUCAAUGCUGCUCCUACCAUUGCUAUAAUGGAUAAAACUAAGCCAACGGCAAUCCUUUGCAAAGGGGUUAAGCCUUGUGGGUUUUUGAGUACUUUUCUAGCGAUUGGGACGAUAAGCCUAUCGUAAAUUGGGACCGUCAAGAGAAUGGCUCCAACGAAGAACACCGUGAGUGAUGCUGGUGGGAUUUGAAAUUUGCCUAUAUGACGGUCCAUGGUUGUGGCUUGAGACACUGAAAAUGUUGACAUUUGGGCAUAAACGGUCCAAAAUAUGAUAGUGGUUGCCCAUAUAGGUAACAUUCUUAGCACCAAUUUCACUUCUUCAACAUCUGUUAAAGUAGCUAAGUUCCAUUUAUUUGCCUUUAUAACAGAUGGGUCCUCGAUAGCUGCCCUAUCCAAGAAACUGUACACAAUUCGAAACCAAUAAAAAAAAGUAGCCAAUAAUAAUAAUAAACUCACUGCCAAUUCAUAUACACGAUCCCCCCUGUUUUUUAAUUCCUUAAACACCCACAUAAAUAUUUUAUGGUAUAAAAUUCGUUGCCUGUGUUUUGUUUUUCAAUUGAAUCGAGGACAUAAAAAAUGACAGUCAGACAUGUUUGUCGAAUUACAUAUCUGGUUUCAUAAAAUUAACUUAGAUUUGAAUCUGAGACUAAAAAGGCAAAGAUAGAAGAAGCCAAAAACAAAUAGAGGGUUGUCUUUGGAUUCAUGAAUUGGACUAUUGAUAUAAAUAUCUUUGUCCUGAAGUGAGAUAGGGUUGCCAAAUAAAUAUAAAUACCAGAAAAAAAUAAUAUUUUAUGUAUAAUUUUCUUUACAAGUGUUUGAUAUAUAAAUUUUAUAUUUUUAAAUAUCUUAUAUACAUAAAAAUUUUCAAAAAUAAAAUUUAAAAUUUAAAGUACAUGAAAAAAUAGAUUAAAAAAUCAAAAAUAUAAAAAUAAUUCAUAAAAUAAAAAUAUAAUAAAUUUUAGUUUUUUUUUGUCUCUAUAUAUAAGCUCUAAAAAAUUGCAAUAAUUUAAAAAAUAUUUGAUACAAAAAAGUAUAACAAAAUUUUAAAAAUUGAAAAGGGAAUUGAAUUAAGAAAAAUAAAAAAAGAAUAUAAAUAUUUAUUUAUUAGAAUUUUUUUUUCAAAAUCCAAAAAAUAUUAGUAGUUGACCGGUACUGACAUGAUAGAAUUUUGAAGCUUUAUUUUAAAAAAUUAUUUUUAAAUUUUUAAAAAUUAUAAUUUUUUUCUGUGAGAAAAUAAUUUUAAAAUUUUAAAAAAAUUAUAAUAUAUAAAUUAUUAUAUUCUUUUUAUUUUUCAUAAUUUAGUUAUUUUUUCGAUUUUAAAUUUUUUAUUAUACUUUUUUUGUAAAAAAUAUUUUUUAAAUUAUUAAACUUUUCUUGAGCUUAUAUUUAUAGACAAAAAAUCUAAAAUUUAUUAUAUUUAUAAAUUAUUUUUGAAUUAUUUUUAUAAUUUUUUAUUUAUUUUUAUAAUUUUAAUCUAUUUUAUAAAGUUUUUUAUUUUUUUAUUUUUUUUUGAAAAUUUUAUGUAUUUUUAUAUGUUUAUUUAUUGUAAUUAUAAUUUUUAUGAAUUUCAAAAAUAAAGAUUAAAGUAAAGGAAUGUGUAAACAUUUGGGUUAAAUUUGUAAUUAAGGGCUAAAUAUAUUAUUAUAUCAAUCAAAAACUGGCCACGUCAUCAUUUCGUAUGGGGACUAAUGCAUUUUAAUAGUGGAGUGACUAAAAUAAGAAAUUAACUCAACGGGAGAGACUAAAUUAAUAAAAAAAAAAUUAGGUGACCAAAAUAAAAGCACCUAAAACUUGGGUGACAAACUGAGUGGUUUACUCUAUUUUUUAAAUUAAAAUUAUUGGGAAUUAACAUCAAUAUUUUUUGUCCUAUUUCCGUUGAUUUAUGGUAUACAUACUUUUUUAAGGUAAACUAAUUCCAGAUUGAAAAUCAAUAACUUGUUUUCUAGUCUUUGCGUUGCUUAAGAUGCCUUUGGACGCAUGGUGGUAGAGAAUGGUUGAUUCAGGGGCAAAAGUUUGGGAGGUGAAAGUUAAAAAAUUUGUUGAAAAAAACUUAAAUUGAAUAUCUCAUAAUCAAAAGGGACUAAAAGGGAUAUUAUGUUCCUUAGCUAACAAAGCCUAACUUCGCCCUGAGUUGAUUAAUUGUAAUAUUUUGUUUAAUAAUUGUGGGUAUCCUCGUUUGAUUUACAAUUUAAUAAUAAUUUUAUUCGGAUAAGAUGAUAUUAAGAUAAACCUUCCUAAUAGUGAUGAUUUCAAGACUAUUAGUUUUAAUGGUAGUGUUUGAGUACUGCAUUAAAGAGAUAUUUGUAACCAUAAAAAAUAUUGGGUUUUAAAUAGAAGACUAACCGGAACUGUUUGGUGUGUGGCAAUUUUUGCUGCUUCUUCAUCAUUAAUCCCUCAGCUGCAUCAUCAAUAUUGUUGGUUUUUUGAUCAACAACAAGGUUAAAAACAAUCAAAACCGAUUGUUUAAGUGUUUGAAAGAUUAAAACAGAAGCAAAAACAGGAAGAAAAGCGAAUGAACAAAGUGUUUUCUUCAUUACCGGAAUAAGAACAAUGUUACAUACAUAAAUAGUUCAAAAACACAUUGAAAGAAAACAAAGCUUGCUUGUGCAAGUAUCUAAAGGUUUACAUCAACAUAAUGACAACCUAAAUGACUACUAAAUCAGCUAAGCACACAAUUAAUCUUAGCUAACCAAGGCAAAAAAUGAUUACAACAUUAACUAGCAAAAGUCAACUGAAUAAAACAGGCUACUGUCGAAUUGCACCAUGGACAUUAGCAUGCUUCAGCUGUGUUCCUGGUUCCCUGCAUGCAACGUCUACCUUGCAUGGUUUCUUGCAUGUUGCUGCUGUUGUUGCCACCUUUGAAAACUCCUCCUUGGCUACAAAGCAGCAAACUCCUAUCUCAUCCUUCAAAUGCUCAAGUCUCAGAGCAGCUAAUGGUUUGGUCAAUAAGUCAGCAAGCUGAUCUUUCGAGCAGCAGUGAACUAAGUUUACCUCUUUGGACAUUUUAGCCUCCCUCACAAAGUGAUAUUUGAUUUUAAAAUGCUUGGUCUUUCCAUGAAAAACUGGAUUUUUAGCAAUGGCAACAGCAGAUUGAUUGUCAACCUUAAUCACUAUUGCUUCCUUUUGAUCAGCAUUCAAAUCACACAACAUUUUCCUAAGCCAAAUGGCUUGAUUUAUAGCAGAGGCAGUAACAAUAUACUUAGCCUCAGCAGUGGAUUGAGCCGCUGUCUGUCGCUUCUUCGAGCUCCAGCAAAAAACACCUGAACCAAGAGUGAAGAAGUAACCUGAUGUACUCUUCAUGUCAUCAGUUGAGCCAGCCCAAUCACUGUCUGAAUAUCCCACCAGCUUCAACUCCUCAGCUCUUUCAAACUUCACUCCAUAUUUCAAAGUCCCUUUGACAUACCUUAGGACCCUUUUUGCUGCUUUAAAAUGUGCAACAGUGCAGCAGUGCAUGAACCUCGAUAGAAGACCAACAGCAUAAAUGAUGUCUAGCCUAGUUGCAGUCAAGUAGAGUAGGCAACCAACCAGGCUUCUGUAAUUCUUUUCAUCCACUCGAUCUUCAUCACCAUGGCUUGAGAGUUUUUCUCCUAGUGCCAUAGGAGUGCUAGCAGGCUUGCAGUUUGACAUGCAAAACUUGCUCAAGACCUUUGAUCCAAAAGCCUUCUGGCUUAUGAAAAUGCCUUGCUCGUUCUGGUUCACUUCCAUACCAAGGGAGUAUGUCAUCAAGCCAAGAUCAGUCAUCUCGAACACACUUUGCAUUUGCUUCUUAAAAAUCUCAGUUAGCUCAUUUUUGCAACCAGUGACCAACAAAUCAUCAACAUACAGAGACACGAUGAGCAAAGUCUCCUCUCCAUCCUUCUUAACAUAAAGAGUAGGCUCACUAGUACUCUUUGUGAACCCAAGCCUUGUCAAGUAGGCAUCUAUUCGAUCAUACCAGGCUCUUGGAGCCUGUUUUAGGCCAUACAGGGCCUUCUUGAGCUUGUAAACCUUUUGUUCCUCUCCAUGAACCUCGAAGCCUUUAGGUAUCUCUAUGAAGAUUUCCUCCAUGAUAAAUCCAUUUAAAAAUGCUGAUUUGACAUCCAGUUGAUGCACCUGCCAUUGUUUUUGAGAUGCUAAGGCAAAUAACAACCUUAUGGUAUCCAGCCUUGCAACAGGAGCAAAGGUUUCAAAGAAAUCGACUCCUUGCUGUUGACUGUACCCUUUCACAACUAAUCUGGCCUCGUGUUUGUUCAGUGAUCCAUCUGCAUUGUUUUUUAUCCUGAACACCCACUUGACUCCAAUGAUCUUCCUAUUUUCUGGCCUAUCAACCAGCUCCCAAGUGUCAUUCUUUUGGAUAAUCCUUAGUUCAGCUUCCAUAGCUUCUUUCCAGCAUCUCUCUUUUGCAGCUUCAUUAUAGCAGGAUGGCUCAACCAUGGUCACAGCACAUCUUUCAUAGAUGUCUGCUAGUGUCCUAGUGCCUCUGACAGGCAUAUCAUCACAAUCAUCCAUAGCAUCACUUUCAAUUUCAACAUGCUGCAGAUCAAGGUCCUGUAAGUCUUCUUCAGCUAAGCUUGCAUCUGUCUCAUUCUGUUUCCAACAGCUUCCUCUAUUGAACUUGACAUCUCUACUCAUAAUAACUUUCUUGGUAGAUGGAUCAAAGAUCCUAUAACCCUUCUUCACACUACUGUAGCCAACAAACACCUCUGGCAUAUACUUUCUCUCCAGCUUAGUUCUCUUCUCUACUGGCACCAAUGCAUAGCACAAGCAUCCAAACACCUUCAAGUGUGACACAACUGGUUUCUGUCCAAACCAGGCUUCAAAGGGUGUUUUACCCUUAACUGCUUUAGUUGGCGAUCUAUUCAGCAAGUAAACAGAUGUGUUUACUGCUUCUACCCAGAAGUUGUUGGGCAUUUUGGCCUCAAACAGAAGGCAUCUGGCCAUAUCGAGGACAGUCCUGUUCCUCCUUUCACAAACACCAUUCUGCUGUGGUGUGUAGACAGUAGUCAGUUGGUGUAGAAUACCAGCUUCAUCACAGAUCUUCUGGAACCUCUAAGACACAUACUCAGCUCCAUUAUUUGACCUCAAGAUUUUAAGCUUACUGUUGGCUUAGUUCUCAGCUAAAGCUUUAAACUUGCAAAAGAAGUCAGUAACACCUGACUUUUGUUUCAAGAAGUUUACCCAAUAGAAUCUGGUGCAGUCAUCAAUGAACAGGGCAAAAUACCUGCAGCCAUUUAAUGAGGUGGUCUUCAUUGGUCUACAAAUGACUGUAUGAACCAAUUGAAGUUUCUAUUGGGCUCUCCAUGCCUUUUUGACUGGAAAAGGCAAUCUGGUCUGCUUGCCAAGCUGAUAGACUUCAUAUACUUCUUUCUUUGGUUCAAACUUGGACAUUUCUUCAACCAAAUUCAGUUUUUGCAAUUGCCCGAGUGAGUUGUAGUUGACAUGCCCCAGUCUUUUGUGCCACAAACUUGCUUCAUCAGCCUGAGCUGCAUAUACCCUUGCUUGUAACUAAUUCACAUCUACAUUGAAAGUUCUAUCUUGCAUGGCUACUGCUGUUAACACUUGGUCAGUAACAUCUUUGAUUACACAGGUUUUGCCUUCAAACAAGAGAGAAUAACCCUUCUCCAAUAGCUGACCAACACUCAACAAGUUUUGAUCAAUGUCAGGUACAUAAAGAACCUCAGAAAUAGUUUUGAUACCUAACUUAGUGCAAAUCACAACCUUACCCUUACCUUUGGCCUUGAGAAGCUCACCAUUUCCAAUUCUGACUUUGGACUCAAAAGAGGUGUCAAGCUCCCUGAACAUACUUUCAUCUGAAGCCAUAUGAUGAGUGCAUCCACUAUCAAUCAGCCAAAUCUUGCUGACUUUGCUCGAGCUUGCAAAAUAGGAGGCUGUGAAGACAUGUUCUUCCUGUGCCUCAAUGUCCUCAGCAGCUUGAGCUUGAUUCUGAUGCUGUGAGUGAGAUUUUGGUUUGUUUUUUCACACUUUUUCAAUGGGGCCAAGCUGUUUGCAGCCUCUACACUGAAUGCCAGGCCUGUACCAGCAAUAUUUCUCAAGGUGAGUUGUUCUUUUGCAGUGAGCACAAGGUAGAAAUUUCUUCCUGAUAGCUUCCUGCUUCCCUCUUUCUUUCUUCUCUGACCAAGGCUUCUUGCCUUUGUGAUUUGAGCUCGAGCUUGAGCUCUCUCUGCUCCUGGCUUGAAAAGCACCCUCAGAAUAAUCCUCCAUUCUGUUUGCUCUUGUGCAUAGAGAGCAUUUAUCAGCUCUGUCAAGGGAAUGGCUGAUAAGUCCCUCGAGUCCUCCAGGGAAGAAAUCUUUGAUUCAUACUUCUCUGGCAGGGUUGUUAUGACUUUCUCAACUACCCUUUGAUCACUAAAAUCAUCCCCAAGUAGUCUUAUAUUGUUGACAGUAGCCAUAAUUCUGUCAGCAUAAUGCUUGAUGGUUUCUGAGUCUUUUAUUCUCAGAUUCUCAAAAUCCCUUCUCAAGUUGAUCAGUUGCUGCUGCCUGGUCUUGUCUGAUCCCUGAAACUCCUAAUUGAGUUUAUCUCAGGCCUCCUUUGGUGUGUCACAGGCCAUUAUCCUUAUGAAGAUAACAUCUGAAACUCCACUUUGAAUGCAUGACAUGGCCUUGUACUUCUUUGAACAGUCUUCAUUGUGCUGCCUUAUUUGAGCUAUCUUUGGAUUAACUCUCAAAGGUGGUGGCUCUGUAUCAUUUUGAACAACAUUCCACAGGUCAUAUGUCUGUAGAUAUGUUUUCAUUUUUACAGCCCAUAUGUUGUAACUUUCAUCAGCAAACACAAGUGGAGGAGGUGGUGAAAAACUCAUCUUCACGCAGCUUCCAAAAACAAAUCAGCAAAGGUAGCUCAUGUUUCUUUUCUUUCAAGCACUUGGCUUCAACAAACACAGCACACAACAAGAGGCCCUCAAAGACAACAGGCUCUCGAUACCAUUUGUUGGUUUUUUUAUCAACAACAAGGUUAAAAACAAUCACAACUGAUUGUUUAAAUGUUUGAAAGAUUAAAACAGAAGCAAAAACAGGAAGAAAAGUGAAUGAACAAAGUGUUUUCUUCAUUACCGGAAUAAGAACAAUCUUACAUACAUAAAUAGUUCAAAAACACAUUGAAAGAAAACAAAGCUUGCUUGUGCAAGUAUCUAAAGGUUUACAUCAACAUAAUGACAACCUAAAUGACUACUAAAUCAGCUAAGCACACAAUUAAUCUUAACUGAACAAAGCAAAAAAUGAUUACAACAUUAACUAGAAAAAGUCAACUGAAUAAAACAGGCUACUGUCGAAUUGCACCAUAGACAUUAGCAUGCUUCAGCUAUGUUCCUGGUUCCCUGCAUGCAACGUCUGCCUUGCAUGGUUUCUUGCAUGUUGCUGCUGUUGUUGCCACCUUUGAACAAUAUUGAAGAGCAAAUAUGGAUUCGAUGGCAACUUCAAAUGCUUCUUCCUCCAAGCAGCUACGAACACUGCAGCAAUUUAGGUCAAUGGGCUCCCCACUAGUUUCUUAAACCAGUAUCGCUUUGUACCUGAUAGAAACACAACUAACCCUAUCACAAUAGCGCAAGCAAUAAUACAGUAACCCCAAUCACGCCCUAAAUUAUCUUGGAUGUAAACUAAAAUGGUGACUGAAGAAAGUGAACCUAAGCUUAUGAAGAAAAAGAACCAAUUGAAGAAGUUGCUCAUCUGGGAUCUCUCUUCAGGAUCCGUAUCAUCGAAUUGGUCUGACCCGAACCCGAAAACGCUCGAUUUUAGACCCCCAGUCCCAAGAGCUGUGAGGUAAAGGGCUAAGUAAAGAACAGAGAGUUGUAUGCUGCUUGCUGGGGUGCAAAUCGUGGUGAUAUCCUACCUGUUACACUUUGGUGGCCUUAGGGUUGGGAUUAUUGUUGAGACUGUUAAUAUGGUAACACUCUGCAAACGAUUAUGCAAAUGAUUUUCAAAUGCAAAGUGAAGAUGAUGAUUUUAAGUCAAAAGGAAAAUGAAUAUUAUCUUACUGUUGCUUGAAUGGCGGUGAAGAUUCCGAUGGUGAAAUAUCUGUGGAUUUGAAAAUGAAUAAUGUUAUAAAGUGAUACGUGCAUGAGAAAAGUAUACUAGAAAUUAUCGAAGUACAUUGGACGAGACCUACCGAGGAAGGUGUCAGUGAUGAAACCAACGAGUAGACAAAGCAUGAAAGAUGUGCCGAAGAAAUUGGUAACGAUGUUGGCUGUUGUAGCAUUUCCUAAAUGCAUGGUUUCCGUCAAGUAUGUCACUAAGUUAACAGCGAUUCCUAAUGUUGUUAACCUCUCACAUGCCUCAACACCUUAGAUAGAUAGAUACAUAGAGAAAAAGGAUAUAUAUUGAGAUCCCAUUGUUUGUUUAGACCAAAACCAAAGCUAAAGAGGGGCAAUAAGGAGGGAUGAUAAAAGAUGAACCUAGAAUCAUGGCGGCGCUGGUCCAACCGCCGAAUUUGGACCGGUCGACAGGAUAGCCCUUGUAGUCCCAAGCAUCGGGGACUGUUUGCCCUUGUGUUGUAGGAAGGGUCAUUGGUUGAUACAAGGUGAAAAAGGGUGGUAGAUCGGAGAGAAAAGAGAGUGAUGACGACACAAGGAGAGCAAAGGCUGAUGGAUGUAUUUAUAGUGAAGAAUUACAAACUACACACCCAAAAAAGAAUUACUUAAUCACUACUUUAAUAUAUUUUGUUAGGUAGUUAUGAUGAGAACCCGAAAACCAAAUAAGGUUUGGGUCACUCACUUGCUACUCGAAAAUUCGCAAAAUAACUUGCAGUAUCAGGUCGCAUAUACUCAAGGAGUUCAUAUGUGGGGGCCACGAAGUUCAAUAGCCAACUCAGAACGGUAUAUGUGUCUUGCAUGCAUAAAGUCUAUCAAGAACAUCAAUUCUAUGAACAAUAGUCAUGUAUAUAAAUAUUGGAUUAUCCCUUCUAAUAAGAUACGACAAAAAAUUACUCAACAUACUUAAUUUAAAAUUUAUAUAUAUAAAAAAAAAACAUAGAUUACUCUACAACAAAAUUUUAAGCUUUUGAAAUUUUAAUAUUUACAUUUGACACUUUUCUGUUUAAUGCUUCGGAUGGAUCCAAAUAUCGAAAGUGUGUUUUUUUAUUAUGUUCUUCGGAUUAGUGACAGUGGAAAAUCCUACUGGAAUUUGAUUUGGAACGUGGGAUGUUCCACCCUAAUAUUGAGAUGUUCGUUUGGCGACUAUUAUGAGGUACAAUUCACACCAAAAAUGAGCUUAUCAAAAGAGGAAUUACUCGGUUUAAUUCUGAUUUUGGUCCCCUAUGUUACACAAAUCACGAAAACAGUCAAGCAUUUUAUUUUUUUUAGGUUGUGUUGUUUCUUGGUAUGUUUGGCAAAACCUAAGUGAUAAUUAUAUAUGUCAAAUUCUGUUAUUAAAUCUUGUAUUUUGUGUAAAUUGUAUAUUUAGUACAUGUAUUUUAAUUUGAUCAAUUUUAAUCUUUAUAUUUUUUGAAUGUUAGAAUUUGUCUUCAUCCAAUGGUAUAGCAGUUAAAUCUAUUUGCUUAAAUUAUGUCAUUAGUCUUGUAUUAUGCGUAAAGUUAUAGAUUUAGUCUAUGUUCACCAAUUAGAUAAUUUUUAGUGGUUACAUUUUUUAAAUUUUAAAUUUUCAAUAUUAAUGCAAAUGAAAGUUGUUAAACCCAUUAACUAAUUUUUUGUGAUUAAUAUAUGACAAUAACAAAACAGAUAUAACAUUACACAUGUGAUAAUAUGUUCGACACAUUAAAUUUUAAAAAAUAGCAUAAUUUAUCUAAAUGAAGUUAAUAGUUAUCAUUUGGUUAGGACUAAAAUUUUUAAAUUCUAAAAGUACAAGAACUAAAAAUAAUCAAAUUAAAAUAUAGGUACUACAUUCAUAACUUACGCAAAGUAGAGGCUCUAAUAGCAUAAUUUGACCUUAUAUAGGGAAUAUCUCUUGUUCUACCGAGAAAUCCAGUGACCCUUUUUUCUCCAAGGGAGCAAAAGUGUUGAAGCCAUUUGGAAUGCAGCUAUUGGUCGUGGUCAGAGUGGCUUAUCCAUUAUUUAGCUUUGAUGUAGUUUGCAUUAUACCUAGGUAAUUAAAUUAUUAAUAAAUUUAUAUUUUAGUCAUUUAAUUUUAAAAAGUUACAUAACUGUCAUUGAAUUAUUUAAAAGUUUUUAUUUAAGUCAUUAGGUUGUUAAAAACAUUAUUAUAUGGCCUUCUCUAUUUGCACUUCCUACACCAAGCGAAAAUUUUAUUUUCCCUUCUCUUUUACAGUUUAAUUUUUUACAUAAAAUAACUUUGAACGUUACGAAUUUACGAACUAAAAUACAAACCAUUUACUUCGAGUUUGUUUGCAUUUGUUAGUGCAAAAGUGUUUGUGAAGAACAAUGUGGUCUUGUAGGGAAUGCAUUUGGCUUCUCAUUAGUAAAUAAACUAAUAUCAUGUUGAACCAACACUUUUUAUUGGAUUAAUUAUUUUCCACUACAUUAUAAAAUAAAAAUUUUAAAAUUACAAUAUAUUCUAAAUUCUUGUAUUCUUCUUAUCUUUAGAAUUUAGUAUCCUUCAAUUUUAAAAUCAAAGCAAAUUUAAGUAAUGAUUAUUCUAUGCCUCAAAUUCCUAUACACUAUAAAUUAAUAUAAAAUAACAAAAUUUAUAUUCAAAUAUGUAAUAUAUAAAUCUGUAAAAAAAAUUUGAAUAGUUAAUUUUUGUUAUACAUUCGAUGACUAUAUAUAAGUUAGGAUUGCAUUAGGUAUAGAUUAUCUUGGGUUAUAUUAUGGUAUUGAUCACCUUACUAUGCUUAAAUUUAUAAUUUAAUUUGUGUACUUUCAUUUGAUCUAAUUUGGUCCCUUUAAUAUUAUAAUCUCAUUAAUUAGUCUGAACAAUUAACACCCUUAGUGAUUUUUUUUAAACACUUAUUCUAAUUUAUCAAGCCGAAAUGAAACUUUUUUUAUUAUAAUAGUAUUUAAAAAUUCACAUCAAUAAUUUAAUCGAAUAAUUAAAUAUUUAGACUAAUUAAUAAUAUAAUAAAAAUAUAAAAACCAAGUUAUAUUAAAACUAAAAAUAGAGAAAUUAAAUUGUAAAUUUAAGCAUAAUAAAAAGAUAAACUGAAAUUGACUUUUUUUUAUAAUGAAAAAAAAAACUUAGUUGGACACAUUAGUUUAUAUAGAUUAUAUAGAUCGAUGACUUUCCAAAAAUAACAAUAUUUUUUCUCAAGGAAAGAAAACUACGCAUUAGUCAUAUAAUCCUUUGAUAUUACUUCUUUUAGGAUAAAAAAUAGACAGAUGGAUAAACUAAUAAAUAUACAUGUGAAAUCUAAUUCAAAUUCAACAAUUUUUUAACUUAUUAAUACCAAUCUAGAUACAAUCCAAUAUUAUAUUCGGUUUUUUUUUUUAAGUUAGGUUAGUAUAAAUGUACAUUGAUAAGUACAAAACAAUUAUAAAUAUAUUUUUGAGCAAUUUUGAUAUAGAAUUAUGUACAAAAUAUGUAUAAGUGACAAUUUUUAAAAAUUGACUAAACCUGAUAGAACCGGACAAAACACACAUAAAAUAAUUGGCAUCACAAGUUAUUCUUCCUAUCGAAGAUAUAAUUUUUCCUUUUUAUCGUUUUGAUUCGAUUGCUAAUAAUAAUUCUUAAUUGAUUGUGUUUUAUUAGGAAUAAUGAUUCAGUAAAUAGAAGUUAGUUAGAAUAGUUAACAGUUAGUUAAUCAGUUGGUUAGUUAUUGUUAGCCAGCUGACUGUUCUUCCUGUACUGUAUUAAAUACUGCUCUUUUCCUCAUUAAUGAUUAUGUGAGAAAUAUUUCAACUAUGAUCUUGAUAUGUUUAGAUGAGAUAAAAGCUCAUUUGGGAGGAAAUGAAAGCUUUACCUUAUUUAGUAGGUGCUGAUACUAAGGAACAACAAUGAGGAGAUAGUGGAUGAAGAGUGAGGUAGGUGGGGUGGAGAGCCAUUAAUGAUUAGUUUCGAGAGGUGGCCAAAUGAAUUAGAGUCUUGGUCUAGUGUCCUUGGUCCCUUUACUCGUAUUCAUGAUCUUAUAUAGGUUGGUGAUCUCUUGGCUUGUGGUAUUACGUAGCGGGCUAUGUUGGCGGAUCGAAGGUUAGUGACCAAAAGAAUGUUGCAGGUUUCGAUAGGUUGGCACUAUGGUAUGUCUAGUGUGGUUCAACCUAUGUCCAAAUUGGUCUAAUUGCCCUUUGUUAUGACAGCUAACAAGUGGGCUCAUUUGUCAAGUUGGCUAUUAUCCUAAGGGUCCUCGCAAGAAUCUAGCACAUACUAUUCGGGAACCUUGUUACGAGCGGUCUUGGUGAGGUUGACGAGGUAUAACAAUUGCCCCAUGUUGAAAUGAAUAUUAUAAAGUGAUUUUCCCUAGAAAAAAAAAGUGGGCGGGAGUGUUGUGUUGCAAGGUAAGGUGCUAACAUGACAAUUGUGGAGCGUCAAACGAAAUGUAUUUCCAAAGGGUAUGGGCGAGUUUUUGUGAAGAGUGAAGUUAAACCGUACUUUCGAGGGAUAUGAGCUCGUUUUUCUUUUGUGAAGAGUGAAGUUAACGUAAUUCCUAUAAGUGUGAGCUAGUUUUGAGAAGAGUGAAUAUAUUUACAAUUUUUGUGUAGCGCUUUCAAAUUGAAGAAGCAACUUUUUGUGCAUAAUUGGCAGACCUUGGAGUUGGAUUUCCAAGUGCCACACAUUGUUUGUAUGUAUCUUUAUGGGCGUGUGUUACAAUGUAUCAUUGGGAAACAACGUUAAUAUUUUCUACUGUUAGACUUUUAAAAGCAUCGAUUGUUACAUUUUGAUUGGACGACGAAAUGUCAUGCCUGGUGGUGAAUGAAUACGCCCCAUGGCCAAAAGGUCUUUAUAUACUUGAGCUUUAGCUAUAAUAUUAUCAUUGGAGCUUUUAGAUUUUAUGAACUUUUCUUCUUUGAAAUCUCACUAUGCAAUCUUUGUUUUUUUAUGCUUUGAAUUUCUUCUUUUAGCAUUUCUUUUGAGUUGUAUCUUGUUCGUUACUAUGUUCUCUUUGAUCAAAGGACUUGUUUCUUUCACCAGAGUUAGAUUAAAGGCAAGUUCAAGCUUUUCCUUUUAUUUUUCAAGUCUUUGUUGGUGUAACACCCCUUACCCGUGUUCCUUGCAGGAACAGAGUAUGAGGUAUUACUAGAACUCAAACACUUAUAAAUUUUUCUUUUAUAAAAAUUUCAGCAGCAUUUCUGCUUAUUUUUACAUAAAACCCCCUGUAAAUUUUCAAAGAUAAUUUCAAACAACUUCAAUAUUUCCAACCAAUUAUAGUUAUAUGUUCAGACAUAAUUUAUCCAUUAAUAAACACCAACAUAUUAAACCGAACAAUACUGAAUAUAUACAUAUUUAUACCACAUUACAUAAAGUCAUCUAUACAUGCCAUGUUUCCAAAGUAUUAAUUGCAAAAUACCCAAAAAGUUGAUGAUAGUGUGGAUGAUUAUCUGACGUCGUCCAAGUUCCGAGCUGAUUGAUGUCACUAUAAUCAAGGGAAAAUAAAAACGAGUAAGCAUAUAGCUUAGUAAGUAAACAUAUGACCAAUAAAUAAAUUCCUCACAUGAUUACAUAGUAACAUAAUUUUAAUCACACAUAAAUUUCAUUGUUUGUUCAAUUUCCAGCAAGCUGUUUUUCUGCGUCACGGUCACUAAUUUAUUUUUAUCUGGAGCUACAGGGCUCCAAAUUAAGUUCCGUAAAUUUUCUUCAAAACUAGAUUCAUAUAACUUUCCACCAUAAAAUUUUCAGAAUUUUUGGUUUGGCCAAUUAGUACAUUUUAUUCUCUAAAGAUUCCCCUGUUUCACUGCUCGACAGUUCAAACAAUGUUCUCGUUUGUUUAUAUUAAAAAUAGACUCGUUAAGGAAUCCAAACAUAUAAAUUUCAGGCCAUAAUUAUGUUUUUACAAUUUAUGGUGAUUUUCCAAAGUUGGAACAGGGGAUUUCGAAAUCAAUUCAACCCUGUCUCAAUAAAAUUCAAAUAUCCCAAAAUAUACAACUCUUUUGCUUGCUCUAUUUCUUUCAUAUGAAAAUAAACUCAUCCAGCUUCAAUUUCAUAUAUUAUUCAACCUCUAAUUCAUUUUCCUCCAUUUAUGGUGAUUUUUCAAAGUUGCCCAACUGUUAUUAUUCAAAACAGUUUUGUAUUUAAAUUGUUCUUUUGUAUUUUUGAUAUUUCCUCCCAUAUUACAUAUGGGUUGAUUAAGUAUCAAACCCAAUAUUCCUCCCAUAAACUUGUCCACCAUAUAUAAAUAUUCACCUUUUCAAUUUCCUCGUUGAACACUCGGAAUGUUAUCCGUUAUCGGUGGAUUCAGCACUUAGCAACCACCAAUUAGUCGGGGAAUUAGCACUUAGCAACCCCUUUCACAUUUAAGAUACGGUGGGAUCAGCACUUAGCAACCCCUCGGGGGAAUCAGCACUUAGCAACCCCCUUCACAUUUAAGAUACGGUGGAAUCAGCACUUAGCAACCACCAAUGAGUCGGGGAAUCAGCACUUAGCAACCCCUUUCACAUUUAAGAUACGGUGGAAUCAGCACUUAGCAACCACCAAUGAAUCGGGGAAUCAACACUUAGCAACCCCCUUUAUAUUCGAUGUAAUCCGGCCUAUUCCGAGUGUUCAACCGGAAACCGUGUUUUUCAACACUUUACCACCUUUCCCAACUUAACCACACUUUUAGAAUCUUUGCCAAAUAUUUAAUCUAUGUUCAAAUAAAUCUCAACAUAUAUCAAAUAAUAUCAAAAAUAUGCAUUAUUUCACAUGUUUACUUACCUCGGUGCAAAAUAUCGUAAUUUUGCAAUUUACUCCACUAUCUUCUCUUUUCCCCGUUUGAGGUAGUCUUCUCAUCUUUCUUGAUCUAUAAUAGAAAAUUUAACUCAUUUAAUGUUAAAAUUUAAUAAAAUAGUCCUCCACCCAACUUUUUGAAAAAUUACAAUUUUUCCCCCAAACUUUUGAAUGUUUACACUUUUGUCCCUAAGCUCGGAAAUUAAAUUUAAUCUCUUAUUCUUAUGUUUUACAACAUGCUGAACACUUUUCCCUUCUAUGGAAACAUCAAAUUCUCACUCUAACACGUACUUUUGAACAUUAACUAUUUUUACCGAUUAUGUCAAUUUACACGUUUUGUUUAAAAUCGCUUAGCAAAAGUUGUUUAACAUAAUUUCUAGCUUCAUAUUCCACCAUAAAACAGCAAAAUAAAAACUUUUCACCUAUGGGUAUUUUUCCAAAUAUAAACCCUAGGUUAAAUUAUUGCUAGAAUAACCUAAAUUAAGCUACCGAGACUCCAAAAACAUAAAGAACAUUAAAAACGGGGCUUGGAAUCACUUACUAUUGAGCUUGGAAGCUUAAAAACCCUAACUAUGGCUUCCCCCUUGCUGAUUUCGUUCCCCAUGAAGAAGAUGAGCACAUUUUGCCAUCUUUUUCCCUUUUUAAUUAUUUUUAUUAUUAAAUGACUAAAAUGCCCCCAUUUAAAAAAUCUAUUUCACCCAUUUCUUAUGUCUAUUUUUGUCCAUCAAUUAACUAAUGGUCUAAUUACCUUAUAAGGACCACCAAUUUAUAAUUUCAUAACAAUUAGACACUUCUAACAUGUAGAACUCAACUUUUGCAUUUUUUACAAUUUAGUCCUUUUGACUAAAUUGAAUGCCCAAACGUCGAAAUUUUCGAACGAAAUUUUUACGAAAUUUUUCCGUAAAAUUGUAGAUCAUAAAAAAUAUAAUAAUAAUAAUAUUUUCCCUCGUCGGAUUUGUGGUCCCGAAACCACUGUUCCGACUAGGCCCAGAAUUGAGCUGUUAUAGUUGGGGUUCUGAUAGCCGGAGGAAAUUGGAGUGGUGAGGUUAGAUGUAGUGUCAGUACCAUCGGCGAUUGAAAGGCAAAAGUUCCUCGAUUGGUGAUAAAGGUAGUGGUCGGCGCUUCGUUCAAGUGCACCACAAGCAAUAGCGAGAUGCGAUGGCUGCUUCUAUGUCGUUGCAAGCGUUGUCAACUUCCUCUAUUGGGUGCUUUCCUAACUUCUACAGCCUCACACCAUUAAACCAAACGCGGUAUAAUGCGCUAUGCAUUGGGAACCCUCCGAACAUCCAUUGCACUAUUACUGUUCGGAAUGUGUGGAAACACUGCCUUGUAAGUGUCAGCCUAAAUGAUUACAAGGAUAAUGAUCAUGCAAGGGGUUUUGAGAAAAGUUCGCAAAGUGAACCAUCAUAUCAUCAUCAUUAUCAAAUGGAUUGUCGUUGUUGCUAACAACAUAGUCCUACAAAUGAUUAGGCAAUUGAUGUUGGCGAUGUGGCCGACUAGAAGUCUCUACAAUAUUGGUUGCAUAAUUUCUUCUUCUAGUGUUUUUGUUAAGUAUCAACACGAUCAACUUGAAAAUGCAUCUUCAUUAAAAAUAGUUUCUCUAGUCACUAUUACUUUUCUAGCCUAAGAGUUCUAUAACUUGUAACCUUUUAUCUCAUAAUUAACGGAAGAAAUGGUAAAAAAAUAUAUAUACAACUUUGGGGAAAAUGUGAUAAAUUUGAUUAGGUGUAUAUAAUUAGACAUAUAAAUACGCCUAGAGUAAUUUAACCCCUAUGCUUUUUUAUAGUGAGCAAAUAAGUACAAUCAAAUUAGUUACUUUCCCAAUUUUUUUAAAAAUUCUCAUUAAACCUUUCAAAAUUUUAAAAAAAAAUUAAUUAAAUCUUUUCAAAAUGUUUCAUAAAUUCUCACUAGGCUUUUAACUUUUUUUUAAAAUUUUAAUUAUACCUACAAACAUUCUUAAAAAAUAUUUUUAUUAAAUUCCGUAUAUUACUUUUACUUUUUGCGAUUUUGAUAGAUGUGAGAUGAAAACAAUAUUAAUUCAUGACUAGUUUUAAACUCAACUUUCUUAACUAUCUAUUUGGAGAUCAAAUUCUACAAGAUUGAAUGGCACCAUUGUUCCCACUUUAAACAACAAUCGAGCAAGUUUCUUGUGGAUAGUAGAAUUGUGAACUAUUGACAACCAAUUGUCCAAGAUUAAUGGCACUUCGUAUUCAUGAAUAUUCAAUUAAACACCUCCUAACCUUCAUUAAACUAGAUAAACACUUGUUAAAAAUAAAAACUAAUUAAAAGUUCUAAAAACAUUGAAAAUAGAAAUUAUGCAAUGAAUGUCAUGAGCAAGGCAAAACUAGUUAAAAUGGCAUGAAUUAAUGUAAAUUCACCUAAGAAUCAAGUUAAAUGAAAGUUAUAAGAAGUAUAAAAUAUAAUCAUGAUGAGCACUUAUCAACCUUGCAACUUAUGGUUAACUCUUAGACUUAGAGAAACAACUUCUCUUAAUCUAUAAUUCAAGGCUAAAGUCUUGAACAAUUAUCCAUAGUUAAAUUUAAGUGAUAUAGGCCUUCAAUAUCACUCAAAGUGGUAGAUUCUCUUUGGAUCACUCACCCACCUUCAAAUGAUUCGUGUUUUGAUGAAACAUUCUACCUUAAGCCUUCAUCUAUAAUGGACAUGUUUUAUGAUGAAUCAAAUUACAACCUUCCUCAUAUAAGAUGUUCCAAUAUCUCAAGCCAAUGGAUUAAUUUACAUUGUCACCACGUGAGGUGAAAAUAUUUUCCAAAAAUUUUAAGUGAUUCUCUUAAGUGAUUUCUCACAAUAAACUUGUUUCCAAGACAAGUACUCUUUGUUGCCCUGAAGUAUCUUAUAUACUUCAACAUAUGAAAUUGGUUGUAUGUAUCCUAUGCAUGAAGGCUUAAAACAUAAUAGUCUCUAGUGCAUUACUAAUGUCUGUCUCAAUAAUGUGCCGACUAUUAUGAAAUAUUCUAAGAAUAUAACUUAAUAAAUAAGGAUUACAUAAUUGUAUAUUGUUUUCAAUUCCUCUACAAGGCCUUAUUUGUUUUAUGGGCUUCUUUCUAUUAGUGCUUUCAACAACUUAGUAGUUAUUAGUACUAACACAAAGAAAACAUUUGCAUUAGUACUCGUUGGUAUGUAGUUUUAUUUCAUUAACUUAUAUAUCCCUGAGCGCAAUCCCAUUACCAUUAGUACAUAUAUUCUAUUGACCCAAGUUUUUGAAAUGGCUAUCCAUGUGCUAAUGGAAGUGGCCACUUCCACUAUCAUUACGUCAGGCACAUAUCUUACCUUUCAUUAGCAUGUUUAACAAAAAUAUGUUAUGAUUUUCUUGCAUCUUUUUUAGGAUCUUGUGCAGCUAAUCUUGUGUUUAUCACUAAUGAAGAGAUUGAAUUAAGCAAGAUUAUUUUUCAAAGAUUCUUAUAUGGUCGACUUACCUAUAUAUUGAGAUAUGCAAUCCAUAAAGAUAUGAGCUGACCUUAUGAUCUUCUAUAUCCUUAUAUUAAGGAUAAUUGAUUUGAUAAGAUUUGAGUAGAUCAAGAUGGAUUGAAUGUUACCUAAUUUAGAUAGAUUCGUACUUUAAAUAUGGAGGCUUGUUCAACCUUGAUAAAAGUUUAUUGUUAAGAAAGUGUUUUUUAAGUGGUUUUCGAUGUGGCAAUGGAAGUAGUCACCUCGACUAACACAACCACAAGCAACAUAAUUUGUCAUUUUUUAGGUUGUAAAUAUUUUCAAUCAUAUUAGUUAGACAAUGACUUGAAUGAUUUUGUGGAUGUGUGUUGACCCAUAUUUAAAGAUACAUCUUGUGGAGCUACAAAUCUUUGAAGAUUGGAUAAAAUCAAAUUAAGCAAAUCAAAUCCCAUGGAAUAUGGAGAUUGAAUUAGGACUUAUUUGAAUAUUUAUCUUGAAGAUCUUUGAUUUAUUUUAGACUCUUUGAGAAUAUUUGUAUACCUAUUUCAUUUAUUUGAAUCCUUAUUUGAAUACUUAUUUUAUGAGGCUAUUUUAGUUGAUCUUGAUUGUAAUUUAUCUUUAUCAUAGCAAGAGUAAGGAUUCUUUGCUGGGAUGUAUUAGUGUCACUGGUCAAAGUGCAAAGCCCAUGACCAUGGCACAAGAUGCGCCCCAUAGAGGUCUAUCGGUAAGAUGGGGAUUAUUUAGCCCACGAGAACUGACCCGAUUCAAAGAACUGUUGGAGAAGCCUGUCAAAUUGAAGCUUGGUUGGCCCGAUAAUGAAGAUAUGACAACUUAGGCUAAUUUGGAAACUAAUCUUAGAAGAUUUAGGGAAUCUUAUCUUGUAAAUAUUAGAUUAGAUUUGAUAUGGCAUAUCUUGUAAACCCCUAAAAUCAAGGGAUAUGGUUAAUCUCGUCCGUCAAUGUAAAUGCAUCUUGACCUUCAAUUUUGGGGGAGCUCAACUAUAAAUAGAGAGCCUCCCCCUCAUUUGUACUCAUUCUAUUGUAUAUUGAAUUCUUAAGAGAAAUAGAAUUCUGAGAGAGCAUUUACUCAAACACCUUGUGUGUGUUCUUUUAUGUGGCUUUCUGUUGUUUUUUAUGACUUCUUUUGGCAUAAUUCGCUUCCGCUCUUCAACUUGGUGCCUUGGAGGAGUUCUUAAAGAAUCCUCACUUGAGUAAAGGCUGACUUAGGCGAGUUUGGACGAACGGAUCACCUAAGGCCGUACGAAUCGCGAGACAAAAGAUCUAGCCCCGUGACAGUUGGUAUCCGAGCUAUUGGUUCGAACGAAGUGAUAUCUAAGCUAUUGGUUCGAAGGCAUCGUUGAGAUGUCAAAAGAAGUUGUUAGUCAGAGUGAGCCAAUGGAGACCCGAGGAAGGGCCAAAAAAGUGAGUCGAUCGAGGGACUUAUUGUCAGCUUUGGAGGAUCGAGUCGUCACUCUCGAGGAGUCCAUGGGGGACGUCAAGGAGAGGAUCGACGAUGUCGAUAAUAGACUCAAUGAUGGGUUGCGAACAAUGCAAGAGCAGCUCAGGGAAUUUGUGUGGGAUACUAUCGGUUCCUCAGAAAAUAAGCUGAUUGGAAGGACGAUGCUCUCGAGGCUAUGGUGGCAGCUUUGAAGAAGGAGAUCAAUGAGCUUAAAGGGGAGCUCAAGAUUUUUAAGGCUGCCAUAAGUAAAGGAAUGUUGGCUUCAAAGCUGAAGCCACAUGCGAUGGAUGUGCCCAAACCGAAAGUGUUUAAAGGGGCAAGGUACACAAGUGAAGUGGACAACUUUCUUUGGACCAUGGAGCAAUACUUUUGUAUGAUGAACAUCGAGGAUGGUGCCACAAAGGUAAAUAUUAUUGCUAUGUAUUUUACUGAUGUUGCUUUGUUAUGGUGGCGACGUAGGUCCACUGAUGUGAGACAUGGUAGGACUGGGAUUGGAACUUGGAAGGAGUUUCAAAAGGAAUUUAAAGCACAGUUUUACCCCAAGUAUGCCGAGAAUGAAGCUCGAACAAAGUUGCAACGGCUUACGCAACAAGGCAUGGUUAGGGAGUAUGAGUGGGAGUUCAGUGAACUCAUGCUCCAGAUCUCUGAUUUGAGUGAGAAUUACGUAUUUUUCUCCUUUACGGAUGGGUUGAAACCAUGGACGAAGCAAGAAUUGCAGCGUCAAAAAGUUCAGGAACUUACCAAUGCCAUGAUGGUAGCGGAGUCCAUAGUGCAACUUGUUCCGAGAAGAGGCAGGUUUUUGAAUCUUCCAAGCCUAACAGGAGGGGCAAUGGUGGGUACCAUGAGGAAGAUUAAGAGGGACAUAGCUAUUAUGGCAACGGUAGUAGUAGCGACGGGGAUAAUAGGAAACCACGAAAUAAAUAGUGGAGACCUAAUAGCCCGAAAGAAAAUAUGAGAAAGUUAUUAUGCUACUUUUGUAAGGGACUGCACAUAAAGAGGGACUGCCCAAAGGUAUCUUCAGUUUCGGCUAUCAAGAGGAAUGAUGAGCCGGAAGAGGCGAAGCCUAUUGAGAAAAAGACAUCAACGGUUAAUUCGAUGGUGCUCAUUCCAAAGAAAUGAAUGGUGGAGAAGGGUUGAUAUUUGUAGACAUUAACAUUACAGGUCAAAAGAGGAGUGCUCUUGUCGACACAGGAGCAUCAGACUUGUUCAUAUCGAAAAAGGCUGCAGGGAAAAUUGGUCUCUCGAUUAAGAAAUUGAAUAGAAAUAUCAAGAAGAUAAAUUCUGAAGAGACCCCAACUGUGGGAGUAGUUCGUGAUGUGGAACUACAAAUCAGUGAAUGGAAGGGCAAGGAAGAAUUCGAGGUAAUCCAAUUAGAUGAUUACGAUUAUAUGCUUGGCUUAAACUUCCUUGACAGGAUUCAGACAUCUCUGCAUCCAUGGGCUGAUCAAAUUCAUAUUGUCAUCGAUCCGUUAUCAAAAAUUGUUGUGUCGGUGCAUCGAGAUAUGAAGGUAGGGACAAAAGUGUUGUCGUCGAUCCAACUAGUCGAGGAUGUUUCGUAUGGAAGGAACAUUGACUCGAUAUAAUGGAAUGCUACGAAAGCCCCUUCGGAAGUGUUAGUGGCACAAGAGAUCGAUAUGAAGCCUACGAAAGCACCUUUGGGAAAGGUGGGUUUUGCACCAGGCUUCUAAGGAAAAGGAGCGAUGCAAAAUCAGUCGGGACGAGUAAAUGCUGCAAGUAAGGUACAUUGCGAACACUUUGAUAGUGUUUUGAGUUCUAACUUGUUAGCUUGGCAAGGUCGUAGGGGCCCUUUCAAAGUUCAUAAGCAAUGAGACCAAGGGACUGUGGGCAAUACGAAGCGAAGGUGUGAGAAUCAAGGCAAUUCAAAAGAAAACAAGUCAAAAUUGGGGCAAGUUAUAACGGAGACUUCUUGCCAACGAGAUGUACCAACGAGUGUAACGGUUCAAGUUAAGAAGCGACGAAAAUCGAGGAAAAAGUUUUAGAAAAAGGGACAACCCGAUCGCAAGGCAAGUCAGGAAGAAGCCAAGGCAACGAGAGGGUUCAAAGGUGAAUCAAGUUAAUGCCAUUCGGAAGUCGCAACGAGGAUGUUGCGAGAAUGGGUGGGGGAGAAUGUCACAAGUAAAAGUGCAAAGCCCAUGACCAUGACACAAGAUGCGCCCCAUGGAGGUCUAUCGAUAAGAUAGGGAUCAUUUAGCCCACGAAAACUGGCCCGAGUCAAAGAACUGUUGGAGAAGCCUGUCAGAUUGAAGCUUGGUUGUCCCGAUAAUGAAGAUAUGACAACUUAGGCUAAUUUGGAAACUAAUCUUAGAAGAUUGAGGGAAUCAUAUCUUGUAAAGAUUAGAUUAAAUUUGAUAUGGCAUAUCUUGUAAAUCCCUAAAAUCAAGGGAUACGGUUAAUCUCGUCCGUCGAUGUAAAUGUAUCUUGACCGUCGGUUUUGAGAGAGCUCAACUAUAAAUAGAGAGCCUUCCCCUCAUUUAUACUCAUUCCAUUGUAUAUUGAAUUCUUAAGAGAAAUAGAAUUCUGCGAGAGCAUUUACUCAAACACCUUGUAUGUGUUCUUUUUUGUGGCUUUCUGUUGUUCUUUGCGACUUCUUUUGGCAUAAAUCGCUUCUGCUUUUCAACUUGGUGCCUUGGAGGAGUUCUUAAAUAAUCCUCACUUGAGUAAAGGCUGACUUAGGCGAGUUUGGACGAACGGAUCACCUAAGGCCGCAUGGAUCGCAAGACGAAAGAUUUAGUCCCGUGACAUUAGAACUAGGUUCAUUGGUUGUAUUUAUUUUAAAAAUAAUUAAUUCUUCUCAUUGAACUAGGUUCCACAAAUGUAAAAAAACCAAAUUGUAUAAUCAAUUUGACAUCUAUUUUAUUAUGCUUGUUUGAUCAAAAAUACCCACUUCCACGAACACUUAUGCUUAUAUUCUAUUUCUUGCAAUUGUUGACCUGAACUCAGGUCACCAUAUUCUUUCAAAAACAAAUGUUGAAUUGUAAGGCUUUCGUAGAGACAAGAUAGGGAAAUGUUAGAGUUAAAAGAAGCUAAAAAUAAAAGUCGAAUAAACAUAUUCAUGGCUCAUGCAGACAAGUUUUUGUUGGAACAUAUACAGCUUAACUGUCAGCAAUAAAUUAACAUGGUACUUAUACAAAGGUACAAACACAAAAUCUUAAUGAAACCUAAUUAAUUUAGUGGAAGGUAGGUUCCGAUUCUUCCAAUUCAAUCCCUUCAUCAGCAAGCCUCUUAUCCUUAUACACAUACCAUUUAGCAAAAACCAGAUAAAUUGCCAAAUUUAAACCACAUAGAAUUGCCAAAAGCCAAUAGAAAUCGUAGAGUCUCCCUUGGUUCAAAUUGUCUGGCAGCCAUGGAUGCUUGUUUCCAGUGACCUUGUCAACUAUAGUUACCAACAAAGAACUAAGGAAAAACCCUAAUGAAAGGGUACUCAAAAAUAAACCCGUACUCAUUGUUUUCAUCCCUUUUGGACACUCCCUUAAGAAAAAAUCAAGUUGACCUAUGUAUGUAAAGGCUUCACCAGCCCCUACAAACAGAAACUGAGGGACCAACCAAAAGACACUUAAUGGGAUUUGAGCGGUGGGGUUAUUCGUAAGCCCGUUCGUGGUUGCCACUCUCAUCCGCUUUAUCUCGAUCAAUGCUGCUGCUACCAUUGCUAUAAUGGAUAACACCAAGCCAACAGCGAUCCUUUGUAAAGGGGUUAAGCCCUGUGGGUUUUUGAGUACUUUUCUAGCGAUUGGGACGAUGAGCCUAUCGUAAAUUGGGACUGUUAAGAGAAUGGCUCCCACGAAGAACACCGUGAGUGAUGCUGGUGGGAUUUGAAAUUUACCUAUAUGACGGUCCAUGGUUGUGGCUUGAGACACUGAAAACGUUGACAUUUGGGCAUAAACGGUCCAAAAUAUGAUAGUGGUUGCCCAUAUAGGUAACAUUCUUAGCACCAAUUUCACUUCUUCAACAUCUGUUAAAGUAGCUAAGUUCCAUUUAUUUGCCUUAAUCACAGAUGGGUCCUUGAUAGCUGCCCUAUCCAA
Molecule: long non-coding RNA, 56531 nt
Filed under: Gossypium raimondii (Peruvian cotton)
Lineage: Eukaryota; Viridiplantae; Streptophyta; Magnoliopsida; Malvales; Malvaceae
Description: long non-coding RNA (GRAI_LNC002425)
Rfam family: MIR7502 microRNA precursor family (bases 1208-1352)
Source: RNAcentral